UCGAGAAAGCUUAUGAUAAGGUUAAAUGACCAUUCCUACAACAAGCCUUACGUAUGAAGGGAUUUGACGCGGUAUGGAGGAAACACAUUGAAUCCUUUGUACAAAAAGGAAGCGUUGGAAUCAAAGUUAAUAAUGAUAUUGGUCAUUACUUCCAAAUGCACAAAGGUCUUCUGCAGGGAGACCCAAUGUCCCCCAUCCUAUUUAAUGUAGUUGCGGACAUGUUGGCAAUUCUAAUACUCUCUUCGUUUCAGUUUAUAAGUCCCGCACGUAUAUUUAGGUCAUCAAUGUGAUCAACUUAAUGAGAGGCAUAUAUUACAAAAAAUAUAUCAUUAGAAACUUUAGAUGUUCUAUUUUUUAAUGAUAUAAUUUUUAUGUUAAACAAUAUAUUUUAUAUAAGUCAAAUUGACGACCUAGGUACACGUGCAUGCCUUAUAAACUAUGACGGAGGGAGUAGGAAGGUCUAAAGAGGAAGGCCAGGUAGGUGGACUAGUACCACAUCUAGUGGAUGGUGGUGUGUCUAUUCUACAAUACGCAGAUGACACUAUUUUAUUUAUGGAACACGAUAUAGAAAAAGCGAGAAACAUGAAACUUAUGCUUUGCUUAUUCGAACAGUUAUCGGGCUUGAAAAUUAGUUUUCACAAGAGUGAAUUGUUCUGUUUUGGAAGAGCCAAAGAUGAACAAGAUAUAUAUAAACAACUGUUCGGAUGUGAAUUGGGAAUCAGUUAUCUAGGCAUACCAAUUCACCACCGUAAGCUAUCAAACAAAGAGUGAAAGUGUAUUGAGAACCGUUUUGAGAAAAACUAAGCUACUGGAAGGGUAAACUCUUGUCUUAUGGAGCUAAUAUUGAUUAUCUCAGUUCUUACGAGUAUGCAUAUGUUCUUUCUAUCCUUCUUUGAGGUACCAGUAGGGGUACGCAAAAGGCUGAACUUUUAUCGAUCCCGCUUUUUCUGGCUGAGUGAUGAAGUUAAGAGGAAACACAUACUUACUAGGUGGGAUAUUAUAUGUAGACCCAAGGACCAGGAAGGUCUGGAGAUUGAAAAUUUAGAAGUAAAGAAUAUGUGUUUGCUCAGUAAAUGGUUGUUCAGACUAUCUGUGGAGACAGAAGGUAUGUGGGUACAUAUUUUACGUAACAAGUACUUGCAAUCUAAAACCUUGGCCCAGGUCAUAGUCAGACCCAAUGAUUCAUCAUUAGGAAAGGCUUGAUGAAAAUGAAAACAAUCUUUUCCAUAGAGCUAAAUUUAUCAUUGAAAAUGGAGAGUCCACAAGAUUCUGAAAGGAUACGUGGUUGGAAGAGACGCCUCUAGCCAUACAAUAUCCAUCUCUCUAUAAUAUUGUGCAACGCAAGGAGGCGUACAUCGCAUAAUAUUACAGUCUAAUCCUCUAAAUAUUCAAUUCCGACAAGGUUUAAUAGGUCAUCGAUGGGAGGCUUGGUUACACUUAGUUAGAAGACUCAUGGAUGUCCAGUUAUCGGAGGAGUCCGAUAGGCUUCAUUGGAAGCUAACAACUAACGUCAUCUUUAGACCGAAAUCGAUGUAUUUAAACCUUAUUGACACAACACCAAUCUCCAAGUCGAUUUAUAUCUGGAAUGUCAAAGUACCCUUACGAAUCAAAGUCUUCAUGUGGUUUAUUCACAAUAAGGUGAUUCUCACUAAGAAUAAUUUGGCAAAGCGCAAUUGGGAGGGAAGUAAACGAUGUAGUUUUUGUGAUCAUGAUGAAACUAUCAAACUCCUUUUUCUCCAAUGUCCGCUAGCAAUUUUUUUUAUGGCAAACAGUUCGUAUAGCCUUUAAUAUCAUACCUCCCGAUAGCAUUGGAACGUUGUUUGGGACGUGGCUAAAUGGAGUGGACAUAAUUAUUUCUAGAUUUAUUCGUAUAGGAGUAUGUGCAUUAAUUUGGCUAUAUGGAACUGCGGGAAUGACAUGACUUUUAAUAGACAGACACAUAUAAAUUUUGUGACAGGGCAUCGCCGUUGAUCCAUACAUGGUCGUUACUCACUCGUGUGAAACCACGAAGCCUUUGGUUACUGGGUUUAUCCGGUGGGAGAUGGUAUACAGCUCGGCAUAACUACAACCGAUUUGGAUGACGGUCCAGUAAUAGCAUAGAUGGUUAGGCAUCUAGGCCUAUGUUAUUCGGUUGUGGCAUCCUUUGGUUUUAUUUUGAAUUAUUUUGCUGCUCCUUUAAAGCUUGUUCGAAACCGUAAAUUAUUUAUUGCUUUCUUUAAUAAAAUGGCUGCAUGUAUCGUAUUGAUGCAGAAGCCGAAGGUAAUCUUUUUUUUUUUUUAAAGAAAGCAAAUGGUUAAGUAGGGAAAAAAGUGUAAACCUGAUCUACAUUAUACGUAUAGCAUAGCCAAGCAAUGCUUGGCUAGUGGACUAGCACAUCUACGUCCUGUCCGAAGAAUCGUGUCGCCACGCCCUAGGCCAUGGUCCAUAUUUCUUGGUCCUGGGCUAGAUCAUAUCGAAACUUGCUCCACGCCACAAAUAACACUGCACGGUACAUAUGGUAAAUCNGAUCGGAUCUCAUCGAUCCUAUCCCCGACAACGACACUAUCGUCCAAUCAAAAUAUCUCCCCUAUAUAUCUUUCCUAAUAAUAAAGCGCGCAGUGCGUCUGUUGUCCGUCGUCGGUCAUUUUAUAAAAAAGCCCUCGUAGUUUCAGUUAAUUAACCCGCAGUCCAACUCUAAGUCAGAACGAACCGUUUUCUGUUAUUUUGCAGAAAAGUCCUCACAGUUUUAGAUAAUCAACCCGCGGUCCACCUUUUAGUCAGAGCCGAACCCUUUUUUUUUACAGUUUACAGGAAACUCCCUUAUGUUUCAGGUAAUCAACCCGCCGUCCCUAUUUAAGUCAGCCGAAACGUUUUUUUUUUGUUUUAACAAAAAAAACCUGACUUUUCAGUUAAUCAAUCCAUAUUUUAUCUAAAACAAAAUUAUCCAUAUCUUUUAAACCGUAACUCCGAUUUUAACAUGUUACAUAUGAAAUUUGAUUAAAAAAUGUGUAGAAUCUAAAUAGGAUGUUAUUUUUAGCUGUUAAAUACUUCUUAAAUAUUAUUUUUGGUGCAAACUUAAUCUGUAAUGCACUGUCUUUUUUCUCUCUCUUUCCGACGACCAUACGAAUUGCAAUAAAUAUUCAUUAAAUUAAAACUAAAUUGAGAGGAAAGAAAACAUCGUUAACCACACAUGAACACCUUUGGAAAAUCUCGUGGAGAGAAACAACAUAUUUCUCAUCUUAUUCCGAGUGAUUGUACAUUCAAACGCGUUUUCGUUGUGUGAGCACUGAGGCCAUCGUCGACAACACAAAUGUGCUAAUAUAUUACGUUCAAAGCGUGUGUUAUUUUUUUUCCGUUGCAACGCACGGGCUUUUUUGCUAGUAAUAAUAAAGCACGCAGUGCUUCUGCCGUACGUUGCCAUUUUUUUUGCAAAAACACUCCUUGCUUUUCGGUAUUCAACUCGUAGUCCGUUUUUAAGUCUUGCAUUUUGCAAAAAAAAACCCUGAUAUUUUAGGUAAUCAACCCGCAGUCCGGAUUUAAGGCCCUGUUUGUUUCAUAAGUCCUAAGACUUUUUUAAGUCCCAACUUAUAAGUCAUAAGUCCCUACCUGUUUGUUUACACGGACUUAUAAGCCCUGAAUCCCUAUCUGUUUGUUUACAGGGACUUAUAAGUCCAUGUUGCACCUAAUAAUACACUUGCAUAGGGACGCGGGGAUCGUCAUCAGCCAUGGCGCGGUAACCUGCAGUCAACAUGGAUCGUCAUCAGCCAAAGCGUACGGCACACAGGAUAAGCACCGCUGCAACGAGGCAGAAACGGGGCGACGAACGAAUGGGACGGGGCGGCGACGAGGCGACGAACCGAGGCAGAAACGGGGCGACGGAACGAACGGGACGGGGCGGCGACGGGGCGACGGGGCGAGGUCCGGCCCGGGAUAAGUCCCAAUAAGCUCCUCCGUGAGAGUCUUAUUUGAUAAGUCCCAAAUCACCACAAUAAGUCCCAAUAAGUCCCUUGUGUUUGGUUUAGGUGGGACUUAUAGGGACUUAAACCAAUAAGUCUCUGGAAACAAACACCCUCUAAGUCAGAAAACGAAUCGUUUUUUUGCAUUUUUCCAAAACCCCCCUGAUGUUUCAGGUAAUCAACCCGCCCUCCGUAUUUUAACAAAAAAACCCUAACUUUUGAGUUAAUCAAUCCACAUUUUAUCUAAAACAAAAUUAUCCAUAUCUUUUAAACCGUAACUCCGAUUUUAACAUGUUAUAUAUGAAAUUUAAUUAAAAAAAUGUGUAGAAUCUAAAUAUGAUGUUAUUUCUAGCUGUUGAAUACUUCGUAAAUAUUAUUUUUGGUGCAAACUUAAUCUGUAAUGCACGGUCCUUUUUCUCUCUCUUUCGGGCGACGAUACGAAUUGCAAUAAACAUCCAUUAAAUUAAAACCAAAUUGAGAGGAAAGAAAACAUCGUUAACAACACAUGCACACCUUUGGAAAACCUCAUGGGGAGAAACAACAUAUUUCUCAUCUUAUUCCGAGUGACUGUAUAUUCAAACGCGUUUUCAUUGUGUGAGCACUAAAGCCAUCGUCGACAAUACAAAUGUGAUGUCAUGUGAAAAUAUAUUGCGUUCAGAGCAUGUGUUAUUUUCUCUUCCGUUACAACGCACGGGCUCUUUUGCUAGUACCUCUCCAAUGGACGUUCUUGUCCCACGCUCUCAAAGCGACCCCUAGGUACCAUAUGCAUGGCAUGGCAUCACCAGUAGAAUAUAGGAUUUUGGUUCUGCUCAAAUAAGAGCAAUAGUCCCUGGUCGUGCUAUGAACCGAGAUUAAUGAGAGCAUCAAUUCCGGUUCGAACGGUCAGGACGCGUGUCGGGCCUCGUCAGGCAUCAGUCCUGGUUCGAGUGGGACUUUAUUUCCGGUUUCACACACUAACCGGGACUAAACGGCCUCCCUCCUGACGCAGCCCCUUUAGUCUCGGUUGGUGUUUGGAACCGAGACUAAAAGUCAUUCUUCAGUCCCGAACACCAACCGAGACUACAAAGAUUUCUAUAUAUACGCAUGGCCUUAUCCGUUUUUGGCCAUAGGUGGUGGGAGAUGUGUGAUGUACUCUGUUCUCACUUCCUAUGCAUAGCAGGUGUUCGAUGAAAUGCCCGAGCCACACUUAAGCUUUUUCCUCUGUUCUUCCCCCAAGCUCGACCUCCAAGCUUCAUUUUCCCCAAGUUUUGUCUAGGUUUGGCGGUGCACCAACUAUCCAAGUGUUUAAAAAAGAUUAGCAACUUCAUCCUUUUAUCUCUCACUGCUAGUUUAGCUCAUUUUAAAUGCUCUAGAAGUAGUGUGAUUUGUGGGUUUUAGUGGAGGAGUGUAUGUGUGAGUUUAUUUGGUUUAGAUGCCCAAUUUGAGCUCAAUUUAACUUCUUAGUUUGCACAUGUGUAUGGUGCCGUCCCAUCCCCAUCACCGUUAUCGGUGUCAAAAUCGGCGGAUCUCGGGUAGGGGGUCCCGUGCUGUGGACCUUGGAUUGAUGGGUUAUAGAAGACGAAGGAGAAAAUGUUUUACCCAGGUUCGGGCCCUUUUGAGGAGGUAAAACCCUAUGUCCUGCUCGAUUAUAUUUAUGUGGAUGAGAAUUACAUAGUUGGUCUACCUUGAGAUUGUAUGAGCUAAAACCCUAGAUGAGUCACCCUCCCCAUACGGAUGAAACCCUCUGGUUUAUAUAGACACCAAGGUUUCCUAGGGUUACAUACAACCGACCUCCAGCCGGGGACAGAUGGGCCGAUCUAGCCUUCUUAGCUUGGAUGACACGCUGAUACGUCUCCAUCGUAUCUACUUUUCCGAACUCUUUUGCCCUUGUUUUGGACUCUAAUUUGCAUGAUUUGAAUGGAACUAACCUGGACUGACGUUGUUUUCAGCAGAAUUGCCUUGGUGUUGUUUUUGUGCAGAAAUGGAAGUUCUCAAAACGUCGUGAAAAUUUACGGAGAAUAUUUCUGGAAAAUAUGAAAAAUACCUGCGCAAAGAUCCACCGGAGGGGAUGGGCCAGUGGGCCACAAGCCUUGUAGCCGCCACCCAAUCUCAGCUCUAUAAUUUCACUUUUGUCCCAGAAAAAAUCAAGAGAGAAGAUUUCGUCGUGUUUGCGAUACGGAGGCGCUGCCACAUCCUUUCUUCAUCUGGAGGGCAGAUCUGGAGUCCGUUUUGGGCUCCGGAGAGGGGAAAUCGUCGCCAUCGUCAUCAUCAACCUUCUUCCCUCUCCAAUUCCAUGAAGCUCUUCAUCGUUCGUGAGUAAUCUAUUCGUAGGCUCGUUGGGCGGUGAUGAGUAGGAUGAGAUCUAUCAUGUAAUCGAGUUAGUUUUGACGGGGAUUGAUCCCUAGUAUCCACUAUGUUUUGAGAUUGAUGUUGCUACUAUUUUGCCAUGCUUAAUGCUUGUCACUAGGGCCCGAGUGCCAUGAUUUCAGAUCUGAAAUUAUUAUGUUGUCACCAAUAUAUGUGUGUUUUAGAUCCGAUCUUGCAAGUUGUAGUUACCUACUAUGUGUUAUGAUCCGGCAACCCCGGAGUGACAAUAACCGAAACCACUCCCGGUGAUGACCAUAGUUUGAGGAGUUCAUGUGUUCACCAAGUGCUAAUGCGUUGGUCUGGUUCUUUAUUGAAAGGAGAACCUUAAUACCCUGUAGUUUCCUUUUGGACCCCGCUUCCACGGGAGGGAUGGACAAUAGAUGUCAUGCAAGUUCUUUUCCCUAAGCAUGUAUGACGACACACGGAAUGCAUGCCUACAUCACAUUGACGAACGGGAGCUAGCCACAUAUCUCUCCGUGUUAUAACUAUUGCAUGACGAAUAUCAUCCAAACAAAUCACCGACCCAUUGCCUACGAGUUUGUGCCACUGCUGCUGUUACUUGUUUUGCUCUGCUGCUGUUACUACUAUUGUUGCUGCUGUUACUUGCUCUGCUGUUACUUGCUACUGUUGCUACUUGCUACUGUUGUUACUUGCUACUGUUGCUAUUUGCUACUGUUGUCACUACUGCUGUUCCUUGCCACUUCUGCUACUCGUUACACUGCUGCUACCUGCCACAAUUCUGAUUCGCUCGACGUUGACGGGAAAAGACAAUUUCCGUCAACGGGCAACGGCUGGCGCCACUGAUACAAUCGUUAGGAAUAGUCUGCCGUUAACAGAUUGUUUCUGACACUGUUGUUAUCAUAUUACUUUGUUGUUGAUACUUUGCUUGCAGAUACUAAUCUUUCAGGUGUGGUUGAAUCUGACACAUUCAGCUGCUAAUACUUGAGAAUAUCCUCUCACUUCCUUGGCGAAUCAACAAAUUUGGGUUGAAUACUCUACCCUCGAAAACUGCCUCGAUCCCACGCGCUGGUGGGUUAUUGCAAGACAAUUUCUAAUUGUUGAGCAAUCGAGAAUAGCACUCGUCUAGUGAUACGUCUCAAACGUAUCUAUAAUUUUUGAUGGUUUCAUGUUGUUAUCUUGUCAUCUUUAGAUGUUUUAUGUACCUUUUAUAUAUUUUUUGGGACUAACUUAUUAAUUCAGUGCCAAGUGCCAAUGUUUUUUCCUGUGUUUUUGGCUCUUUUCAGAUCUGAUUUUGGAACGGAGUCCAACGGAAUAAAAUCCCUGAAAUGAUUUUUUUCCGAACGGAAGAAGAUCAGGGGACCUGUGGGCCAAGCCAGGAGGGCUCUAGGGAGCCCACAAUCCCCCACUCCGCCACUAGGAGGGGAGGCGGUGGUGUCAUGGCUUGUGGCCUCCCUGAGCACUCCCUGACCUAGAUCUUUGGCCUAUAUAUUCCCUAAAAUACAUCAAAAAAUCAGGGGAUCCAUGAAAAUACUUUUCCACCGCCGCAAGCUUCCGUUUCCGCGAGAUCUCAUCUGGAGACCCUUCCCGGCGCCCUGACGGAGGGGACUUUGGAGUUGGAGGGCUUCUUCAUCAUCAUCAUCGCCCCUCCAAUGACUCGUGAGUAGUUCACUUCAGACCUACGGGUCCGUAGUUAGUAGCUAGAUGGCUUCUUCUCUCUCUCGGAUCUUCAAUACAUAGUUCUCCAUGAUCUUCAUGGAGAUCUAUCCGAUGUAAUCUUCUUUAGCGGUGUGUUUGUAAAGAUCCGAUGAAUUGUGGAUUUGUGAUCAGAUUAUCUACGAUAUAUAAUUGAGUCUUUGCUGAUUUCUUAUAUGCAUGAUUUUAUAUCCUUGUAAGUCUCUCCGAGUCUUUGGUUUUGUUUGGCCAACUAGAUCUAUGAUUCUUGCAAUGGGAGAAGUGCUUGGUUUUGGGUUCUUACCAUGUGGUGACCUUUCCCAGUGACAGUAGGGGCAGCAAGGCACACAUUAAGUAGUUGCCAUCAAGGGUAACAAGAUGGGCUCUGUCGUUGAUAUGAGAUUGUCCAUCUACAUCAUUUCAUCUUGCUUAAGGCGUUACUCUGUUCUUUUGGACUUAAUACACUAGAUGCAUGCUGGAUAGCGGUCGACGUGUGGAGUAAUAGUAGUAGAUGCGGACAGUAUCGGUCUACUUGUUUUGGACGUGAUGCCUAUAGAUAUAAUCAUUGCCAUAGAUGACAUGACGACUUUGCGCGGUUCUAUCAAUUGCUCGACAGUAAUUUGUUCACCAACCCUCUACUUGCUUUCAUGAGAGAAGCCACUAGUAAACACUACGGCCCCCGGGUCUAUUCACAUCUAUCAUUUCCACUUUCGCUUUUACUUUGCUUUGUUACUUUGUUGCUUUCAGUUCUCACUUGGCGAACAAUCUAUAAGGGAUUGACAACCCCUUCAUAGCGUUGGGAGCAAGCUUUUUGUGUUUGUGCAGGAUCUUGUGAUACUCCUCCACUGGAUUGAUACCUUGGUUCUCAUACUGAGGGAAAUACUUACCACCGCUGCGCUACAUCACCCUUUCCGCUUCGAGGGAACACCAACGCAAGGCUCCAAGGCCACGGGGGAAAUCCUUUGCAUAUUUUCCUAGGAAGUCCCUUAAGGCGUAGCCGUACCACAAGGAUUCCUGGUGCUGUCGACACGACUAUUUCUGGCGUCGUUGGAAGGUCUUUUUUUGAAGUAGCAUCUAGCCAUUGCCAGAGAGUGCCAGUCACACGCAAGUCUUUGGAGCAUUCCUUCUCGAGCAUGAGGUUGUCGCACAAUCCGGUCUUCAACAACACGACCCAUUAGGUGGGUACAUAAGGGAUGGGCGGACCAUCCAAGGACCACUUAGUCCCGGACUCCCUCAGUAGCUCCCGAACUGGCCUCCACCGCCGAUGUAUAUGGUCUUCGGCAGCUCCGCAUAUCCAGAAUCAUCGGCUUGCAAGGCGAAUUCCCUUCAGGUUUGGCUGGUUUCGACUUGGUCGUUUGGUAAUGUCGUUCCUUUAAAACAUGCAUUGCUCAACCCAAAAGCUUAAAAGCCCGGGUGUGAGCAGUUCCUUAUCUGACAGCCUUUCUGACGAAAGGUCGUGAUAGCCAGUUAUGAAAAAACUCGAUUCGCGGCUCGAGGCCAUUUUCCCAUGGGCAUGUCUAAUCAAUGAGGAGAUCGUGCCCUACAUUUAGGGGGAUACGAAUAAUGGUCUGGGUUAUCCCGCGCGCGUUCAAUGACGCGGUCGUUUCGGGAAGUGGCAGGGCCUGCGGUGCAGUAAACGGGAACCCUUAGUUUUACGGCCUCCCAUAAAAGGGAAAAGAUCCUCAAAGCCACCACAUGCAUUCCAGACUUGACCCCCUUUCCUUCAAGCUCCAAGCGCCCAGAUCCAUUUCGUCGUCCAUCCUCUCCCAACCGCCCUUUCCCAAGCUCAGCAAUGGACGACUGAGGCUCCCAAGGCAUGUUGGAGAUCUCAUGCGUCUCCGCCAAGGAUAUGAGGGAGUUGAAGUUCGCCUGCUACCUCUCUCCCAACAUCGCCCACCGUGCACCGUAAGAAGGCCAGGCGGUGCCUACACCAAAGCCCGACGAGUGGGUGGUGUUCGUCCCCCACUUCAUCCGAGGACUAGGGUUCCCGCUCCACCCCUUCAUCAGGGGCCUGAUGUUCUUCUACGGUUUAGAUUUUCACGAUCUUCCCUCAAACACCUUCAUGCAUAUCUCCGCUUUCAUCACUGUUUUUGAGGCCUUCCUGCGGGAUCAACCGCACUUCGGCCUAUGACUCAAGGCCUUCAAUGUCAAGCUAAAGACGAUCAACGGUUAACACGCCGACUACGGAGGAGACGUGAUCGUCAAACUCCCCCGCGUCCAUAUCUGGCCAUCUCCGGCCCGACUCGGACCGGCCCGAGAAAAUGGGGCCUGGGAGGGCCUGGCCUGGGCCUGAAAAUUAGGCCCUAGCAGUUAUUGGGGCUGGGCCUGGGCUUCAAGAAUAGAGCAAAAAUCGGUCCGGCCGGCCCUCUCGCAGCAAACAAUCAACAACCCAAGUGCUACAUGGCCCGAAAAAAACCCUAGACUCCACGAGACCACGACUCCACCAGGCUCCAGCGGUCCAGCGACUCCAUCUUCAUCCCUUCUAUCCUUUCUCCUCUGCCCGUGCUACAUGGCGGCGGCGGCCGAUCCAUCUCCAAGCUAGCCUGCAUCGCCGGCCGUCCAACUACAGCGCCGGCGGCCGUCUGUCUCUCCAGCGGUCCAGCCCCUCGCCUCUUUCUCGCCGGUCGUCGGUCGCCACAUCUCGAGGCUCCAGCCACCGCGCCCGUUGCUGGUCUGCUCGCCGGUCGCCACAACUACCGCUGCACGGAGCAGGACGAAGCCCCGCCGGUCGCCACAUUUUCUUCAGCAAGCCGCAGGAAGCCCCGCCGGUCGCCACAUCUCCUCCACCAAGCCGGUCUCCUCCACCAAGCUGGUCUCCUCCACCAAGGUGAUAUAGAUGAUUUUGCUGCUGUACAUAGAACAAUGGUAGAUGAUUUUGCUGCUGUACUAGUUUAUUGCUGGUAUAGAUGAAUAUAAGUGUGAUAUAGAUGAUUUAGCUGAUGUACAUAGAACAAUAGUAGGUGAUUUUGCUGUUGUACAUGAAGGUAGUUUCUUGCUGGUGUACAUGAAUAGUUAUAGUUGCUGCUGUUGAUAUAGAUUUCUUGAUGUUGAUAUAGAUUUUUAUUGUUGUUGAUAUAGAUUUGACAUGGAUCCGCAUGAACUAGAAGGCCUAGAGGGUGAUGAACCAGAUUAUCAUCCUGAAGAAUUAGAAGGUCAUGAGGGUGAGAUGGAGCUGUUUAUUGUACCUCCAAAUCCUCCUCGCGUACGGCAGAAAACUGCAAGUUCAAAGGGGAAGAAGCCAACAUCUAGUGGACGUUCAAAAAAUGGACAAUCUGCAGGACAACAACAACCUACAGCUGAAGCACAAUAGCAACCUACAACCAAAGCACAGCCGCAGCGCACUGCCUCCUCUAGCAAUUGCGGACGGAAGUCAAAAGUAUGGUUGGACUUCACCAAGAUAUCCAAAGAUGGUGAUGCCAUUACUAUAGCUAAGUGCAACCAUUGCACCGCUGAGUUGUCAGCUAAGUCUGGACAUGGUACGUCUCAUCUCCUUAGGCACACUGAAGCGCAGCAUAAGACUGAUCAAUCAACAAUGAAUAAUUUUUUUCUUGAAAUCUGAAACAAAUGAUGAUGGAACAAAUGCAUUGAAAAAUGUUAGAUAUGAUGCUCAAGUAGCCAGACAUGCAAUCUCUAUAUAUCUUGUGUCCGGUUCUCAUCCAUUUACAACAGUUGAAGAAGAUGGUUUUAGAACAAUGAUGGCUGCUUUUGUCCAGCAUUCAAGAGUAUUGGUCGACACACAAUAAAAAGAGAGAUAAUGGCAAUGUUUCUUGCCCAGAAAAAAGAAUUGCUUGAAAUUAUUGUUGCUGCCCCUGGUAGAGUAAGUUUCACAUCUGAUAAUUGGAAAUCUGAAGUCACCAAGCAUAGCUAUAUUUGUAUUACAUGUCAUUACAUAGAUGCUGAUUGGAAACUAAACAAAAGAAUUGCAUUUUGUAGAGUUCUUGCUAGGGCAAUGAGAUGAGUAGAAGAAGCAGAGAAGGCAUGUCGAGAUGUAACCAUCCAGGAUCCAACAUUUUUUAGAGUUCUAUGAAUUGCCCAUCUGGCCUGUAACAAUACAUUUAUGCACUUAUGUUUCUACAAACUCAAAACUGGAAUGUUUUGAUACUAUUUGAUGCGAAGACAAUGCACUUUACGUUUUGGUGCUGCUGUCCUGCUAUCUUAUUAUGUUUAUUUUUCUGGACAUGUACUUUCAUUACAAUGUCAAGGGCCUUUGGGGGGGCUUAGGGCUUUCGGGCUUUCUACAUUGGGAGGGCCUGGGCCUGAGAAAUGUAGAAUUUUCAUGGGCCUGGGAGGGCCUAGGCCUUAUCUCCAUGCCUUGGGCUUGUUGGGGCCUGGGCCGAGGCCUGGCCCGGCUCGGCCCAUGGCCAGAUAGACCCGCGUCGAAUGGCCAGAGGGCACCUUUAUUGAUACCAUCAAGGCCUGGAAAAAAAGAGUGGUUUGAUAACCCACAAGUAUAGGGGAUCGCAACAGUUUUCGAGGGUAGAGUAUUCAACCCAAAUUUGUUGAUUCGACACAAGGGGAAGGAAAAGAAUAUUCUCGAGUAUUAGCAGUUGAGUUGUCAAUUCAACUACACCUGAAAGACUUAGUAUCUGCAGCAAAGUUUCAGUAGCAAAGUAGCGUGAUAGCAAUGGUAGAAACGGUAAUAGUAGCAGCAGUGACAACAGUAGCGGUAAUAGUAGCAGCAGUGACAACAGUAGCGGCAAAGUAACGUAGCAAGGACCAGUAGAAAAAGACUCGUAGGCAUUGGAUCAGUGAUGGAUAAUUAUGUCGGAUGACAUUCAUCAUGUAUCAGUUAUAACAUAGGGUGAUAUAUAACUAGCUCCAGUUCGUCAAUGUAAUGUAGGCAUGUAUUCCGUAUAUAGUCAUACGUGCUUAUGGAAAAGAACUUGCAUGACAUCUAUUGUCCAUCCCUCCCGUGGCAGCGGGGUCCUAAUGGAAACUAAGGGAUAUUAAGGCCUCCUUUUAAUAGAGAACCAGAACAAAGCAUUAGCACUUAGUGAAUACAUGAACUCCUCAUACUAUGGUCAUCUCCGUGAGUGGUUCCGGCUAUUGUCACUCCGGGGUUGCCGGGUCAUAACACAUAGUAGGUGACUACAACUUGCAAGAUAGGAUCAAGAACACACAUAUAUUGAUGAAAACAUAAUAGGUUCGGAUCUGAAAUCAUGCUCGGGCCCUAGUGAGAAGCAUUAAGCAUAGCAAAGUAGUAGUAACAUCAAUCUCAGAACAUAGUGGAUACGAGGGAUCAAACCCCAUCAAAACUAUCUCGAUUACAUGAUAGAUCUCAUCCAACCCAUCACCGUCCAGCAAGCCUACGAGGAGAUUAUUCAUGAACGGUGAAGAGCAUCAUGGAAUUGGCGAUGAAGGAUGGUUGAUGAUGAUGACGACGUCGAUCUCCCCUCUCCGGAGCCCAGAACGGACUCCAGAUCUGCCGUCCAGAGGAAGAACAGGUGGUGGCGGCGGCUCCGUGUCGUAAAACGCGAUGAACUCUUCUCUCUUAAUUUUUUCUGGGCGAGAGAGAUUAUAUAGAGCUGGAGUUGGAGGCGGCGGAGCCACGAGGGCCUCGCAAGCCUGCCAGGCAUGGCCAGGGGGGUGCCUCCUGGGCUUGUGGGCUCCUGGCUCCGUCCCUCCAGGUAAUUCUUGUGCCAGUUUUUUUUUAUAUAUUCCACAAAAAAUCCUCGUAAAUUUCCAGGUCAUUCCAAGAACUUUUAUUUCUGCGGAAAAACAACACCAUGACAAUUCUGCUGAAAACAACGUCACUCCGGGUUAGUUCCAUUCAAAUCAUGCAAAUUAGAGUCCAAAACAAGGGCAAAAGAGUUUGGAAAAGUAGAUACGAUGGAGAUGUAUCAACUCCCCCAAGCUUAAAGCCUUGCUUGUCCUCAAGCAAUUCAGUUGACAAACUGAAAGAGACAAAAGAAAAACUUUUACGAACUCUGUUUGAUCUUGUUGUUGUAAUUAUGUCUAACUCAUAUUCAGAUUUUUAGAAAGAUCAUAAGCUAACCACAUAAGCAAUGACAUUUAUGUCUCAUGGUAAACUCAUAUCAAUGGAAAAAUCAACCAGUCAGCAAUAAUAAUAAGUUUCAAAUGUCAACACUUAAAUCAAAACAAUCAUGAAGCAAUAUGAACAGAUGGUAUCUCGCUAGCUCUUUCUGAGACCGCAAAACAUAAAUGCAGAGCACCUUCAAAGACCAAGGGCCGACUGAACAUUGUAAUUCAUGGCAAAGAAGAUCCAGUCACAGUCAUACUCAAUAACAAUUAAUAGCAACGCAUAAAAAUGACAGAGGUGCUCUCUAAUUGGUGCUUUUAUAAGGCGAGGAUGACUCAACAGAAACAUAAAUAGAUAGGCCCUUCGCAGUGGGAAGCAUUGAUUUGCAGAGGUGCCAGAGCUCAAGCUUUGAAGACAGAGAUAAAUAAUUUUGGGUGGCAUGCUUUCAUUGUCAACGCAAUGACCAAGAGUUUUCACCAUCUUCCAUGCUACACAUAUUAUAGGCGGUUCCCAAACAGAAAGGUAAAGUUUUGAAUCCCCCACCACCGAUCUAUCACACUCCACGACUAGCCGAAUCCUCGGGUGCCGUCCAGGGGGAUUUUUGUUUGCAAUUAUCUUUUCGAUUUGAGCAUGGAACUCGGCAUUCCAAUUACCGCCCCCUUUCUCGUGAGUGAUAGUGAAUAAACACGUAUCGAGGAUAAAACGCCUAGCAUGGAAGAUACCGACCGCCCCUUGUCAGCACAUGAGCGGUUCGGGCAUACAAAAUAGAUCAUUUCUUGAAGAUUUAGAGAGUGGCACACGAAAAUUUACUUGGAACGGCAGGUAGAUACCGCAUAUAGGUAGGUAUGGUAGACUCAUAUGGAACAACUUUGGGUUUAUGGAAGUGGAUGCACAAGCAGUAUUCCCGCCUAGUACAAGUGUAGGUUAGCAAAAGAUUGGGAAGCGACCAACUAGAGAGCGACAACAGUCAUCAAUAUGCAUUGAAAUUAACCAACAUUGAGUGCAAGCAUGAGUAGGACAUAAAUCGCCAUAAACAUGAAUAUCAUAGAGGCUAUGUUGAUUUUGUUUCAACUACAUGCGUAAACAUGCGCCAAGUCAAGCCUCUUGAAUCAUUCAAAGGGAGAUACCAUCCUAUCAUACUACAUCAUAAUCAUUUUGAAAUUCAUGUUGGCAUCCAAGACAAACCAUUAUAAGCUCCUAGCAAAUUAAGCAUGUCAUCAAAAACCUGAUCUCUAAGUUGUCAUUGCAAACAUGUUUCUCUCAUAACAAUGUUGAAUUAGGAAGGAUGAGCUAGUCAUAUUUACAAAAAUAAAAUAGGUCGAGUUCAUACCAGCUUUUCCACGCUCAGUCACUUCAUCAUAUAUCGUCAUUAUUGCCUUUCACUUGCAUGACCGAAUGAUGUGAAUAAUAAUGAGAGUGUUCAUGCAUUGCACUAAGCUGGAAUCUGCAAGCAAACACAGAGGAGAAGACAAAGUAAUAUGGCUCUUUGACAGAUAAACGAUAAUGCAUACGAGAGCUACUAAACAUUGUAACCAUGGUCUUCUACCUUGACCCAAAGAAAAAGAAAACUAUUUACACGGGAAACCUCCCAACAACCAAAAGAAAAACGGGAAAUCUUUUUGGGUUUUCUUUUUAAACAUCACUAAGCAAGCUGGAAAGUAAACUUACAACCAAUUUUUUUUUCUCAAUCUAAACAAACACACGAGAAGAAAGCGAGAAAAAGAAAUAAACUAGCAUGGAUGAUAGAGUGGCAAGGUGUGAACACCGACUAACAAAGUGAAAGCAUGAGCAAGAAUAUAAAGUCGGUGAGAAACACGUACUCCCCCAAGCUUAGGCUUUUGGCCUAAGUUGGUCUACUCCCAUGGAGGGAAAUAACCGUCUCCGGGGUACUCUAGAGUGUACUGAGGGUGCCACUGCUAGGUGAGCUCCUCUGGCUCCCACUGAUAAACUGGCGUCUGGUACUCGACUGGUAGCUCGGGCACGGGCGCCUGUGCUGGCGCUAUUCCCAAUAUGCGUAGAUGUUCGAGGGCAUAAUAAUGUACCUGCCUAGAUGAAGAUUGAAUAAAGAAGGAGAAGGCAAAGUAAUAGUCUCACGAGUACCCUGGCUAAAUACCAGGUUAUAAAUCAUCCUCUUAUUUAUAUCUUUAUCGAGAAAGUCAUGGCGAACCAUGCUAUCAUAAUCUAGAUAUCUCUCAGGAAGAAGCAUCUCUUCUUCCUCGUGCAGUCUAAUAGGUAUUCAAAAUGUCUAGCAAGACGGGUAGCAUAGAUACCUCCAUAAACAAUGCCUUUAGUACGGUUCGUGUUUAACCGUUGAGCCACUAUAGCACCCAAGCUAUAAGUUUUAUCAUUAUAAAGGGCUUCGCGCAAAACUGCAAGAUCUGGGGAGCUAAGAGCCCCAGCUUUCCCAUGGCCAAUCAAACAUUUUCCCACGGAUAAUGAGAAAUACCGAAGCACGGGAAAAUGUAUGCUAGCAACUCUAGCGCAAGAUACUCCUCUCUCCUCUCCUACAACAAUAGUAUCAAUGAAAGCCUCCAAGUCCCGUGGACGAGGUUCAUGAAUAUCCCCAACAUAAGGUAAUUUGCAAACAAUGCAAAAAUCCUGAAGUGUCAUGCGCUGGGGGAUAUCAUAUAACUUGAACUCAACCAUAGGAGGACUCUUCCUUGGAUAGAAAUUAAAACUUUGCAUGAAAAUAUAAUUGAGGAGGAGGUAUUGUGGACACUUAUCUUCAACAAAUGCGGGAAGGCCCGCGUUCUCCACCAAGUAAUAAAAAUCCUCAUAAAGACCGACGGCACGUAAGAACACAUCGCUUGGCCACUCGCACGCUCGAACUUCUGCAACUCGGGGGACCGGAUACUUGGGUUUCUUCUUGUCAUUUUCAUCAUCCUUGGGGUCAUAGCUUGUAGAGCCUCUUAGGAACCUCCUCAUCUUUUCCUUUUUCUUUCUCUGAAAAUUUCUGAAUAUUUUAGUGACUCAAAGGAAAAGUGAACAAGGCUCAAUGAAACUCAUAGCAACUACUCCUACAAGUGCCUAGAUGCCAUAUCAUGCACCAAAACUACUUGGGACCAACUAAAAUUAACAUGCAAAGCUCAAGAACAGGGUCAGCAAGGCAGCAAUAAUACGCAACGAAUAAAGCACUAGAGCAAAAACUAAUUGGACCAAUGGAGGAGUCACAUACCAAGGAACAAUUUCCCCAAAACAGUUUGGUGAAUGGGGCUUUGCACAAGGAGAUCGAAAAACGCAGCAAGAAGAGCAAGAACACGGGUUUGAGCUGUGGAAUGAUUUUUUUUGGAGGUAUAAGAAGGAUAUAGGAGUGUGAAACAGGCUGAUAAAUGUCCCUUAGGUAUUCUUCUGGAGUUAUGGUAUUGAUGAUAUUCCUUUCAACAUUUAUGGGAGUACCUGAGAUAUAAUGCUUGAUUCUCUGCCCAUUUACCACUCUCGGAAAAUUACCUUCCGUGUUGUUGAUCUUUAUAGCACCGAAACGAUAUACUUCCUCAACAACAUAAGGACCUUCCCAUUUAGAGAGAAGCUUGCUUGCAAAGAAUCUUAAACGAGAGUUAUAUAGCAAGACAUAAUCACCUACAUUGAACUCACGCUUUUGUAUCCUUUUAUCAUGCCACCUCUUAACCUUCUCUUUGAAGAGCUUGGCAUUCUCAUAUGCUUGAGUUCUCCACUCAUCAAGCGAGCUAAUGUCAAAUAACCUCUUGUCACCGGCAAGUUUGAAAUCAAAGUUGAGCUCUUUGAUUGCCCAGUAAGCUUUAUGCUCUAGCUCAAGAGGUAAGUGACAUGCUUUACCGUACACCAUUUUGUACGGAGACAUGCCCAUGGGAUUCUUAUAGGCAGUUCUAUAAGCCCACAGUGCAUCAUCGAGCUUCUUAGACCAAUUCUUUCUAGACCCGUUGACAGUCUUUUGCAGAAUUAGUUUAAUCUCUCUGUUGCUUAGCUCUACUUGACCACUGGACUGAGGGUGAUAGGGAGACGCAAUUCUAUGGUUGACAUCGUACUUAGCAAACGUUUUACGGAAAGCACCAUGAAUGAAGUGUGAACCACCGUUGGUCAUUAGAUAUCUAGGGACUCCAAAUCUAGGGAAGAUAACUUCUUUCAGCAUCUUGAUAGAGGUGUUAUGAUCAGCACUACUAGUGGGGAUAGCUUCUACCCACUUAGUGACGUAAUCAACAACAACUAGGAUAUGAGUAUACCCGUUGGAUUUUGGAAAAGGUCCCAUAUAAUCAAAGCCCCAUACAUCAAAUGGUUCAAUGACAAGUGAAUAGUUCAUAGGCAUUUCCUGACGUUUGCUAAUAUUACCUAUUCUUUGACAUUCAUCACAAGACAAGACAAACUUACAGGCAUCCUUGAAGAGAGUGGCCCAAUAGAAACCGGAUUGCAAUACCUUGUGUGCAGUUCUAUCUCCCGCAUGGUGUCCUCCGUAGGCCUCGGACUGACACUUCUGUAGGAUCUGUCCCUGUUCAUGUUCAGGUACACAACGUCUAAUAACACCAUCUACUCCUUCGUUAUAAAGGUGAGGAUCAUCCCAAAAGUAGUGUCUCAAGUCAAAGAAGAAUUUCUUCUUUUGCUGGUACGCGAAACUAGGUGGUAUGUAUUUGGCAACGAUAUAGUUUGCAUAAUCAGCAUACCAUGGUGCACUGCAUGAAGCAUUGAUGACAUUCAAUUGCUCACCGGGAAAGCUAUCAUCAAUAGGUUGUGGGUCAUCAAGAACGUUCUCCAACCUAGACAAGUUAUCCGCUACUGGGUAUCAGCACCCUUUCUUGUCAACAACAUGCAGAUCAAAUUCUUGUAGCAAGAGAACCCAUCUGAUAAGUCUAGGUUUAGCGUCCUUCUUCUCCAUGAGGUACUUAAUAGCAGCGUGAUCAGUGUGAAUAAUGACUUUGCAAUCAACAAUGUAAGACCUGAACUUUUCACAUGCAAACACGGCUGCUAAAAAUUCCUUCUCUGUAGUAGCAUAGUUUCUCUGGGCACUGUCUAGAGUUUUACUAGCGUAGUGAAUAACAUUCAACUUCUUAUCGACUCUUUGCCCUAAAACAGCACCAACAGCAUAAUCACUAGCGUCACACAUGAUCUCAAAAGGCAAGUUCCAAUCAGGUGGUUGAACAAUAGGUGCAGUUAUCAAAGCCCUCUUAAGUAUUUCAAAGGCUUCCUCACAAUCAUCGUCAAAAACAAAAGGAAUAUCCUUUUGCAAGAGAUUGGUAAGAGGCCUAGAAAUCUUAGAGAAGUCUUUAAUGAACCUUCUAUAGAAACCAUCAUGACCAAUGAAACUUCUUAUUCCUUUGAUAUCUGUGGGGUAUGGCAUUUUCACGAUUGCAUCAACCUUAGCCUUAUCGACUUCAAUACAUCUUUCGGAAAUUUUAUGUCCUAAGACGAUGCCUUCAUUAACCAUAAAGUGGCACUUCUCCCAAUUCAAGACAAGAUUGGUGUAUUUACAUCUCUACAAGACCCGAUCAAGGUUGCUGAGGCAAUCAUCAAAGGAAGACCCGUAAACGAAGAAGUCAUCCAUGAAAAUCUCAACAAUCUUUUCACAAAAGUCAGAGAAUAUAGCCAUCAUAUAUCUUUGAAAGAUGGCAGGUGCAUUACAUAAGCCAAAAGGCAUACGUCUAUAAGCUAAGGUACCGAAAGGGCAGGUGAAAGUGGUUUUCUCCUGAUCAGAUUGUGCAACUGGUAUUUGGGAGAAACCAGAAUAACCGUCUAGAAAGCAGAAGUGUGUGUGUUUGGAUAGUCCUUCUAGCAUUUCGUUGAUAAAAGGAAAAGGGUAAUGAUCUUUCCUAGUGGCCUUAUUCAACUUCCUAAAAUCAAUCACCAUCCUAUAGCCAGUAAUAAUCCUCUGUGAGAUCAACUCAUCCUUAUCAUUAGGGACAACGGUGAUGCCUCCCUUCUUAGGAACGCAAUGCACCGGACUCACCCAAUCGCUAUGAGAAACAAGAUAGAUAAUACCCGCUUCCAGGAGCUUUAGUAUUUCUUUUCUCACUACUUCUUUCAUCGUAGGAUUCAAUCUCCUUUGAUGAUCAGCAAUUGGUUUGAAUUUAGGAUCAGUUUUGAUCUUGUGCUGGCAUAGAGUGGGACUAAUGCCCUUAAGAUCAUCAAGAGUAUAUCCAAUAGCAGCAUGGUGCUUCCUCAGAGUUUUUAGUAACUUCUUCUCUUCAUGCUCUGAGAGGCUAGCACUAAUAAUAACAUGAUAUAUCUCCUUUUCAUCAAGGUAGGCAUACUUAAGAGUAUCAGGCAACUGUUUAAGCUCGAACACAGGAUCACCCUUUGGUGGAGGUGGAUCCCCAAGCAGUUCAACAGGCAGAUUAUUCUUAAGGAUAGGAUAUUGUUCUAAGACAACUCUAUCUAUUUCAUCCCUUUCAUCCAUAUGCAUAUCAUUUUCAUGCUCAAGCAAGUAUUGCUCUAAGGGAUCAGUAGGAGGCACGACAAUAGAGGCUAAGGCAAUAGUUUCAUCCCUACUAGGCAACUCCUUUUCAUGAGGUUGUCUACCAAACUUAGAUAAAUUGAACUCGUGUGACACACCUUCAAAGCCAACAGUGACAUUUUGCUUCUCACAAUCAAUAUGAGCAUUGACGGUAUUGAGAAAAGGUCUGCCAAAUAUGAUGGACAAAAGCUAUCUUGUGCGGUAGCAAGAACGAGGAAAUCAGCAGGAUACUUCGUUUUACCACACAAGACUUCAACAUCCCUAACAAUUCCCACAGGGCAGAUAGUAUCUCUAUUGGCAAGCUGAAUAGUGACAUCAAUGGGUUCUAUCUCAACAGGUGCAAUCUCAUCUUUGAUUUCAUCGUAUAAGGAUUGAGGUAUUGCACUAACACUAGCACCCACGUCACAAGCCAUGAUAACAAUGAUCUCCUAUCUUAACAGAAACUACAGGCAUGCCAACAAUAGGCCUAUGUUUGUCUCUAACGUGAGGUUUAGCAAUUCUAGCAGCAUCUUCACAGAAGUGAAUAUUAUGUCCCUCAACAUCUUCAGAUAGAAGAUCUUUGAUAAUAGCAAUGCUAGGUUCAACUCUAAUUUGCUCAGGGGGUGUAGGUGUUCUAAUAUAGCCUCUACGUAUCACAGUUGAAGCUUUAGAAUGAUCCUUUAUCCUAAUAGGGAAAGGUGGUUUCUCAAUGUAAGCACUGGGUACCACAGGAUCAUUAUAGGCAAUGACUUUCUCUUCAACUGGAGUGGGUUUAACUACAUUGACUUCUAAAGGAGGAUGAAAUUUAAACCACUUCUCUUUGGGGAGAUCAAUAUGAGCAGCAAAGGAUUCACACAAUGUAGCUACUAUCUCAGAGUCAAGUCCAUACUUAGCGCUAAAGUCACAAAAAGUAUUUGUCUCAACAAAGGAUUUAACACAAUCAAAAGUGAAAUUCAUACCUGACUCCUUACCUUCUUCAAGCUCCCAAUCUUCAGAGUUGCGUUUAAUUCUCUCCAAUAAAUUCCACUUGAAGUCAAUAUGUCUCUUCAUAAAAGAACCGGUACAAGAAGUGUCAAGCAUGGUGCGAUCAUCAUGAGAAAGCCGAGCAUAUAAGUUCUGAAUGAUAAUUUCUCUUGAGAGCUCAUGAUUAGGGCAUGAAUAUAGCAUUGAUUUAAGCCUCCCCCAAGCUUGAGCGAUGCUUUCUCUGUCACGAGGCCAAAAAUUGUAAAUAUAAUUUCGAUCACGAUGUACUAAAUGCAUAGGAUAAAACUUUUGAUGAAAUUCCAAUUUCAACCGAUUGUAGUCCCAUGAUCCAGUAUCAUCACAUAGCCUAUACCAUGUCAACGCCUUAUCCUUCAAAGAUAAAGGAAAUACCUUCUUCUUGACCUCAUCCUCGGGCACACCUGCAAGCUUAAAUAAACCACAAACCUCAUCUACAUAGAUCAGAUGCAAGUCUGGAUGUGAUGUUCCAUCUCCUGUAAGAGGAUUAGCCAGCAGUUUCUCAAGCAUACCCGAAGGAAAUUCAAAGCAAAUAUUUUCAGUAGGUGCAGCAACUUGAGGAGUAACUCUUUGUGCUUCCGUUCGGGGUGAAGAUACCCCAAACAAGCCCCUCAAAGGAUUACUAUCCAUAGUGACAAGUGACAGCAAAUUUCAGCACACUAUAUGAAUAUUUCCUUACCAAGUUCCACUUACCAAAGGCGCUUCACUCCCUGGCAACGGUGCCAGAAAAGAGUCUUGAUGACCCACAAGUAUAGGGGAUCAAUCGUAGUCCUUUCGAUAAGUAAGAGUGUCAAACCCAACGAGGAGCAGAAGGAUCUGACAAGUGGUUUUUAGCAAGGUAAAAUCUGCACGCACUGAAAUUGUCGGUAACAAGUGAUUGUGUGGUGAGAUGAUUCGUAGCAAGCAACAAGUAACAAAAGUAGCAACGGUGCAGCAAAGUGGCCCAAUCCCUUUUGUAUCAAGGGACAAACCUGGACAAAGUCUAGUAGGAGGAAAAACGCUCCCGAGGACACACGGGAAUUUCUGUCAUGCUAGUUUUCAUCACGUUCAUAUGAUUCGCGUUCGUUACUUUGAUAGUUUGAUAUGUGGGUGGACCGGCGCUUGGGUACUGCCCUUACUUGGACAAGCAUCCCACUUAUUAUUAACCCCUCUCGCAAGCAUCCGCAACUACGAAAGAAGAAUUAAGUCAAAGUCUAACCAUAGCAUUAAACUAGUGGAUCCAAAUCAGCCCCUUACGAAGUAACGCAUAAACUAGGGUUUAAGCUUCUGUCACUCUAGCAACCCAUCAUCUACUUACUACUUCCCAAUGCCUUCCUCUAGGCCCAAAUAAUGGUGAAGUGUUAUGUAGUCGAUGUUCACAUAACACCACUAGAGGAAAAAACAACAUACAACAUAUCAAAAUACCGAACGAAUACCAAAUUCACAUGACUAUUAUUAGCAUGACUUAUCCCAUGUCCUCAGGAACAAAAGUAACUACUCACAAAGCAUAAUCAUAAUCAUGAUAAAAGGUGUAAUGAGUAGCAUCAAGGAUCUGAACAUAAACUCUUCCACCAAGUAAUCCAACUAGCAUCAACUACGAAGAGUAAUCAACACUACUAGCAACCUUACAAGUACCAAUCGGAGUCGCGAGACGGAUAUUGGUUACAAGUGAUGAACUAGGGUUUGGAGAUGAGAUGGUGCUGAUGAAGAUGUUGAUGGUGACGAGUCCCCUCCGAUGAGAGGAGUGUUGGUGAUGACGAUGGCGACGAUUUCCCCCUCCGGGAGGGAAGUUUCCCCGGCAGGAUCGUCCUGCCGGAGCUCUAGAUUGGUUCUUCUCAAGUUGUGCCUCGUGGCGGCGGCGAAACCACGAAAAAGCUCCCUUCUGAUUUUUUCCUGGACGAAACCCUCCAUAUAGCAAAAGAGGGGGGCCAGUGGGUCAGUGGGCUGCCCACAAGCCCCCAUGGCGCGGCUUAGGGGGUGGCCGCGCCGCGCAGGCAUGUGGGCACCCCCUGGUGCCCCUCCGGUACUUCUUCGACCCAGUAUUUUUUAUAUAUUGGGAAAAAAUCCCCGUUGAUUUUCACGGCGUUUGGAGUUGCAUAGAAUAGGUAUCUCAACUUUGCUCCACUUUCAGGCCAGAAUUCCAGUUGCCGGUAUUCUCCCUCUUCAUGUAAACCUUGCAAAAUAAGAGAGAAAAAGCAUAAGAAUAGUACCGUGAAGUGAAAUAACAACCAAAGAAGCGAUAAAUAUCAACGUGAAAACAUGAUGCAAAAUGGACGUAUCAUGCAUCCCCCUGACUACCUCUCAAUCACAGAAUUUUCAAACAUUUCAGAAAAAAUCAUACUUGAUUUUCAGGGCAUUUGAAGAACUUUUAUUUUCGAGACACUUUCUAAGGGUCGCAAAAAGCAGAAAACAGGAAAAACUAAAGCUAAAUUUAUCAUUUGUCUUCUAAACAACAAAAAAUAAAAGUUCGGAACAGAAGGUUGUGACUCUUAGAUUCAUCCAUCUCAUGGUCAUCAAAAGAAAUCCGUCAAUGAGGUUGAUCAAGUCUCCUUGACAAACUUUUUCCGAAUCACAUGAAAUCGGAGAAUUUUCGAAUAGUCACUAAGUUACCUCAAUGGGGAUGUGCAUAUCCCCAACAAGCAAAUCAUACCUCAUCUUGACAGUAGGUCUAGGGCAUUCAAAGCUCCCAAUAAGGAUUGAUGAAGUUUUUUCAAUAGCAUUGAUGCAAUGUACCCGAUAUUGUUUCUUCGGAAAGUGCACCGUAUGCUCAUUACCAUUGACAUGGAAAGUGACAUUGCCUUUGUUGCAAUCAAUAACAGCCCCUGUAGUGUUUAAAAAGGGUCUUCCAAGGAUGACCGCCAUGGCAUCAUCCUCGGGAAUAUCCAGAAUAAAAAAGUCCGUUAAGAUAGUAACGUUAGCAACUACAACAUGCACAUCCUCGCAAAUGCCGAUAGGGAAAGUAGUUGAUUUGUCGGCCAUUUGCAAAGACAUUUCAGUGGGUGUCAACUUAUCCAAUUCAAGUCUACGGUAUAAAGAGAGAGGCAUAACACUAACACCGGCUCCAAGAUCGCAUAAAGCAGUUCUAACGUAGUUUCCUUUAAUGGAGCAAGGUAUAGUGGGCACUCCGGGAUCACCUAGUUUCUUAGGAGUUCCACCCUUGAAGGUGUAAUUAGCAAGCAUGGUGGAAAUCUCAACCUCAGGUAUCCUCCUUUUAUUAGUCACAAUAUCUUUCAUGUACUUAGCAUAAGGAGACAUUUUGAGCAUAUCUGUCAAACGCAUUUGCAGAAAGACAGGUCUAAUCAUUUCAACAAAUCGCCCAAAAUCCUCAUCAUCCUUUUUCUUGGAUGGUUUGGGAGGAAAGGGCAUGGGUUUCUGAACUCAUGGUUCUCUUUCUUUACCAUGCUUCCUAGCAAUGAAUUCAUUCUUAUCAUAUCUCCUAUUCUUAGGUUUUGGGUUAUCAAGAUCAACAUGUUCAAUCUCCACAUCCUUAUCAUUACUAGGUUGAUCAUCAUGAACACCACUAUCGAUAUUAUCACUAGGCUCAUGUUCAUCAGCAGAUUGUGUUUCGGCAUCAGAAACAGAGAUAUCAUUUGGAUUCUCAGGUGUAACGACAACAGGUUUGCUAGCAUGCAAGUUCCUAUCAUCUUUCUUUUUCUUCCUAAUACCAGGAUGACUAGGUGCAUUAGUGCUAACUCCUUGAGAAUCUUGUUCAAUUCUCUUAGGAUGACCCUCAGGAUACAAAGUUUCCUGGGUCAUUGAUACGUCUCCAACGUAUCUAUAAUUUUUUAUGGUUCCAUGCUAUUAUCUUGUCAAACUUUGGAUGUUUUGUAUGCCUUUUAUAUCUUUUUUGGGACUAACUUAUUAACUUAGUGCCAAGUGCCAGUUCCUGUUUUUUCCAUGUUUUUGACCCUUUUCAGAGGAGAAUAUUAAAGGAGUCCAAAUGGAAUAAAACUUCCGAAAAGAUAUUUUUUGGAACAGAAGAUACGCAGGGGGCGUGAGAACCAAGGCAGAGGCCACCAGGGGAGGCCACAAGCCCCCUAGGCGCGGCCAGGGGGACCGUGCCUAGCAGGCUUGUGGGCCCCCUAUGGCUCGUCUGCCCUACCUCUUCCGUCUAUAAAUUCCCGAAAAAUCCAAAACUAUGCGAGAGAUCCACGAAAAUACUUUUCCGCCACCGCAAGCUUCUGUCUCCGCAAGAUCCCAUCUGGGGCACGUUCUAGUGCCCUGCCGAAGGGGGGAUUCGGAUACAGAGGGAUUCUUCAUCAACACCAUUGCCUCUCCGAUGAUGCGUGAGUAGUUCACCAUAGACCUUCGUGUCCAUAGCUAGUAGCUAGAUGGCUUCUUCUCUCUCUUGGAUCUUCAAUACAAAGUCCUCCAUGAUCUUCAUGGAGAUCUAUCCGAUGUAAUCUUCUUUUGCGGUGUGUUUGUCGAGAUCCGAUGAAUUGUGGAUUUAUGAUCAGAUUAUCUAUGAAUCUUAUUUAAGUUUCUUCUCAUCUCUUAUAUGCAUGAUUUCAUAUCCUUGUAAUUCUCUUCGAGUUGUGGGUUUUGUUUGGCCAACUUGAUCUAUGACUCUUGCAAUGGGAGAAGUGCUUGGUUUUGGGUUCAUACCGUGCGGUGACCUCAUCCAGUGACAGAAGGGGUAGCGAGGCACACAUCGUGUUGUUGCCAUCAAGGGUAAAAAGAUGGGGUUUAUAUCUAUUGCAUUAAUUUAUCCCUCUACAUCAUGUCAUCUUGCUUAAGGCGUUACUCUGUUCGUCAUGAACUCAAUACACUAGAUGCAUGCUGGAUAGCGGUCGAUGUGUGGAGUAAUAGUAGUAGAUGCAGAAAGUAUCGGUCUACUUGUCUCGGACGUGAUGCCUAUAUGUAUGAUCAUUUCCUUAGAUAUCGUCAUGACUUUGCGCGGUUCUAUCAAUUGCUCGACAGUAAUUUGUUCACCCACCGUAAUAUUUGCUAUUUUGAGAGAAGCCUCUAGUGAACACUAUGGCCCCCGGGUCUACUUCACAUCAAAUUUUCAGCCUUACACUUUUACUUCGUUGCAGAUCUCACUUUGCAAUCAAUCAUGAAGGGAUUGACAACCCCUUUAUAGCGUUGGGUGCAAGCUCGUUUGUGUUUGCGCACGUACUCUGGACACUUGGCUUGAUUCUCCUACUGGAUUGAUACCUUGGUUCUCAAACUGAGGGAAAUACUUACUCCUACUGUGCCGCAUCACCCUUUCCUUUUCAAGGGAAAAACCAACGCAAGCUCAAGAGGUAGCAAGAAGAAUUUCUGGCGCCGUUGCCGGGGAAGAUCAAGUCAAGAAUAGUCUCCCGUCAACGUGCCAACUUCUGGCGCCGUUGCCGGGGAGGAUCAAGUCAAGAAUAGUCUCCCGUCAACGUGCCAAUUUCUGGCGCCGUUGCCGGGGAGUAUCAAGUCAAGAAUAGUCUCCCGUCAACGUGUCAAUUUCUGGCACCGGGGAUUAUUCUAAGUGAAGCUUAUCCAAGUAAGUGUCGCAAACUCAUCUCUUGCAUUUACUUUUUUGCCUCUCGUUUUCCUCUCCCCAACUUCUGAAAAACAGAAAUUUACAAAAAUAUUUGCCUUUUUCGUUUGCCUUUCCUUUGCUUGUGUGCUAUGUGCCUUCAAUAUGCUUGCAUCUUCGCUUGCUAAAAAUCUAGUGAUAUGGAUCCUCACCCACUUGCUAAUCUCUUUAAGAGAUCCAAUUAUGUUGAUCCAAUUGCUAGUGCGUUGAGUGGACUUGACUAUCUUUAUGGAGUUUUGCUUGAGAUGCGUGAAUCUGAAAAUCGUGAUGAAGAAAUUUAUGAAGAUAUUCACGAGGGCUCCUUGAAUGAAAAGCAUGAUUGCAAUGGUUUCAUUAUGAAUUCUAUUAAUGGCAAUCAUGCUAAAAAUAUGCAAAACCCUAAGCUUGGGGAUGCUAGUUUUGGUAUGUCCACUACUUGUUGCAAUGAUCAUGAUUGGGGUAAUGAUUUUUCUUAUGAUCUUGAAAAUGUGUUUAAGCCUCAUGAUGAUUAUGAUAUUUGCGAUAAUAUUGAAAGUGGGUUUGGAGAAGUCGUGACUUUAGUUGAUGAUAAUCCCACUAUUUUUUAAGAGCGUCAACUUUGCAUGCAUGUGGAUCAUGAAAAGAAUAUCCUAUGUGAUAGCUUUAUUGUUGAAUUUGAAUAUGAUCCCACAUGUAAUUAUUAUGAGAGAGGAAAUUAUUGUGGUAGGAACUUUCAUAUCACUAAAUCACCUCUCGUUAUGUUGAGAUUGCUAUUGUCUCCUUCUUCUGCCUUGCAUAUGGUAACUAUUGGUUGUCUUGACAAUCUGUUUUCCUAUAAAAUGCCUAUGCAUAGGAAGUACGUUAGACUUAGAUGUGAUUUUCACAUGCUUUAUGAUGCCCUCUUCGUGUCCGAUUGCUAUCCUUUUUGUGAGCAUCAUUGAAUUAUCAAUGUCUAGCUAAAAGGCGUUAAACAAUAGCGCUUCUGGGAGGCAACCCAAUGAAUUUAUCUUUUCUUUUUUGCUUUCUGGUUUGUUGCGUCCACACCAUCAUAAUUAUGUUAUGAUUGUGUAUUUUGUGUUUCUUUUUGUGUUUGAGCCAAGUAAAACCUUUAUGACUAGUUUGGUGAUGGUUGUUUGAUCCUGCUGGAAAAAGACAGAAACUUUUCGCUCACGAAAUUAUUUUUCAUUUUUAUCCAGAAAUAGUUUUUGAGUUGAUCUUUUUGCUGCUGGUUUAUAUGCCUUUUUCCCAAACUGUCGUAAUUGUUCAGAAUUUUUGAGAUACCAGAAGUAUACGAAGUAUACAGUUUGCUACAAACUGGCCUGUUUUUGACAGAUUCUGUUUUUGUUGUGUUGGUUGCUUGUUUUGAUGAAACUAUGGAUAGUAUCGGGGGGGGGGGGACUAGUCAUGGAAAAGUGNNNNNNNNNNNNNNNNNNNNNNNNNNNNNNNNNNNNNNNNNNNNNNNNNNNNNNNNNNNNNNNNNNNNNNNNNNNNNNNNNNNNNNNNNNNNNNNNNNNNNNNNNNNNNNNNNNNNNNNNNNNNNNNNNNNNNNNNNNNNNNNNNNNNNNNNNNNNNNNNNNNNNNNNNNNNNNNNNNNNNNNNNNNNNNNNNNNNNNNNNNNNNNNNNNNNNNNNNNNNNNNNNNNNNNNNNNNNNNNNNNNNNNNNNNNNNNNNNNNNNNNNNNNNNNNNNNNNNAUAGUAUCGGGGGGGGGGUACUAGUCAUGGAAAAGUGAUAAUAUAAAUAGACAUCAAGAUUGCUAAAGUACCUAAAGAGGUGGUAGUUUGUUUUCUUGUGCUAAUGAUAUCACGAGCUUCUAUUUAAGUUUUGUGUUGUGAAGUUUUCAAGUUUUGGGUGAUGUUCUCAUGGACGAUGAGAUAAAGAGUGGAAAGAGAUCAAGCUUGGGGAUGCCCAAGGCAUACCAAGCCAAAUUCAAGGACACCAAAAAGCCUAAGCUUGGGGAUGCCCCAGGAAGGCAUCCCCUCUUUCGUCUUCAAUCCAUCGGUAACAUUACUUGGAGCUAUAUUUUUAUUCACCACAUGAUAUGUGUUUUGCUUGGAGUGUCUUGUAUCGUAGGAGUCUUUUCUUUUUGUUGUGUCACAAUCAUCCUUGCUGCACACCUUUUGAGAGAGACAUGCACUCAUAGUGAUUUUUGCUAGAAUACUCAUUGAGCUUCGCUUAUAUCUUUUGAGUUAGGCAAUUUAGCUCACAUGUGCUUCACUUAGAUCUUUUAGAGCACGGCGGUGUCAUAUUUUGGAGAAAUAAGAAAUCUCGAUCUUCACUUAUAUCUUUUUUAGAGUGAUCUCUCUGAGAAACUUGGUAGUUGGCUUGUGCUAUGAAAGUAGUCCCAAAGGUGAUAGGAAUCCAAAGAGGAUACAAUAAAACUUCCAUCUUCUUGUGCAUUGAUUAGAAAGAGAAGUUUCAUUCCUCUCAAAUAGUUUUGAGACAUGGAUUUGGUAAUAUUAAGAGUUAUGUUAGUAGGGUGUUGUGAAUCUAGAAAUACUUGUGUUGAAGUUAGUGAUUCCCGUAACAUGCACGUAUGGUGAACCGCUAUGUUAGGAAGUCGGAGCAUAAUUGAUCUAUUGAUUGUCAUCCUUUGUGUUGCGGUCGGGAUCGCGCGAUGGUUAACACCUACCAACCCUUCCCCUAGGAGUAUGCGUUUAGCACUUUGUUUCGAUUACUAAUAAAAACUUUCGCAAUAAGUAUGUGAGUUCUUCAUGACUAAUGUGAGUCCAUGGUAUAGAUGCACUUUCACCUUCCACCAUUGCUAGCCUCUAGUGCCGCGCAACUUUCGCCGGUGCACAAACCCACCAUAUGCCUACCUCAAAACAGCCACCAUACCUACCUACUAUGGCAUCUUCAUAGCCAUUCCGAGAUAUAUUGACAUGCAACUCCCACCGUUCCGUCUCAUGACUUGUGCCGUCACUUUCAUAUUGCCAUUGCAUGAUCGUAAGAUAGCUAGCAAGUCAUACGCCAAGCUAGAUCGUUGCACAUUCUGGUACAUUGCCGGAGGCAUUUCCUAUAAGAGUCAUCAUUGUUCUAAGCAUUGAGCUUUGAGUAAAUUAAAGUGUGAUGAUCAUCAUUAUUAGAGCAUUGUCGCAUGUGAGGAAAAAAAAGGGAGGCCAAAGUUGCCCACACAAAAAAAGAAGAAGAGAGAUUUGGAAAGAGGCCAAAGAGCCCAGAAAAAAAAAAGAAACAGAAAAAAAAGAAGAGAGAAAAAGAGAGAAGGGACAAUGCUACUAUCUUUUUCCACACUUGUGCUUCGUAAUAGCACCAUGUUCUUCAUGAUUGAGAGUCUAUCGUUUUGUCACCACCAUAUGCUAGUGGGAAUCUUCAUUAUAUAACUUGGCUUGUAUAUUCCAAUGAUGGGCUUUCUCAAAAUUGCCAUUGGUCUUCGUGAGCAAGCAAGUUGGAUGCACACCCACUAGUUCUCCUUUUGAGCUUUCACAUACUUAUAGCUCUAAGUGCAUCCAUUGCAUGGUAAUCCCUACUCUUUCACAUUGAUAUCUAUUAAUGGGCAUCUCCAUAGCCCUUUGAUACGCCGAGUUGAUGUGACCAUCUCCUCUUUUUUUGUCUCACAACCUCCACCACACUCUAUUCCACCUAUAGUGCUAUAUCCAUGGCUCACGCUCAUGUAUUGCAUGAGAGUUGAAAAAGGUUUGAGAAAGUAAGAGCGCAAAAACAAUUACUUGGCCAAUACCGGGGUUGUGCAUGAUUUAAAUUAGUUGUGUGGGGAUGACGGAGCAUAGUCAGACUAUAUGAUUUUGUAGGGAUAACUUUCUUUUGGCCUUGUUAUUUCGAAAGUUCAUGAUUACCUUGCUAGUUUGCUUUAAGUAUUAUUGUUUAUAUGUCAAUAACAAGAUAUUGUUUUGAAUCUUACGGAUCUGAACAUUCAUGUCACAUGAAAGAAGUUACAAAGGACAAAUAUGCUAGGUAACAUUCCACAUCAAAAAUUCAGUCUUUAUCACUUCCCUACUCGAGGACGAGCAGGACUUAAGGUUGGGGAUGCUUGAUACGUCUCCAACGUAUCUAUAAUUUUUUAUGGUUCCAUGCUAUUAUCUUGUCAAACUUUGGAUGUUUUGUAUGCCUUUUAUAUCUUUUUUUGGGACUAACUUAUUAACUCAGUGCCAAAGUACCAUCAAAUUCGCACAUCAAGCCGUCUCGGCGACUCAAGGGUAGGAUGCGCCAUUCCACCCAGCAGCGGAUCAGAUCAACUCCAGUAAGACCAUUGUUUGUUAAAGAUCGUAACUCGGAUAGCACUGGAAUGAAAUCCGAUUCUUCUUCUUCGGUGAGCUUGUCAGGAAGUUUGAAAUUUGUGGGCAGACGCUCCUUCCUAUAGCCUAGGAGUUUGUUCUCACCCGGAGGAGAAGUGUCCCGGCAGUAAAACCAAGACCCGCCCCAGCCUUUGGGGUGGCUGGGCAUGGCGAGUGAUGAGAAUGGGUUGUCUCUGCGUCGUUGAACAUUAACCCCUCCAAGUUCUAAGCUAGGGCCAUUGGAGAAAUCGGUCUGGCGAUUCAGGUGCAAGAAGUACCAAAACAAAUUGACCGACGGUUCCAUUCGUAGGUAAGCUUCACAGAAUACCUGGAAUUGGCACAUGUUGCUGCUCGAGUUGGGGCCCAGGUCUUGGAGGCGGACGUUCAUGAAGGCCAUAGCAUCUUUGAGGAACUUUGAUCCUGGCGGCUUAAACCCUCGUUCGAGGUGUUCAGCAAAAACAACUAUUUCUCCUUCAGCCGGGUUGGGAAUUUCGUCGCCUAGUCCAGAUCGUCAUCCGAUGACUUCCUUCGGAUCAAGGUUCCCUGUCUUUACGCAAUCCUCGAGGAAGGCAUCGUCAACUUUGGCCGGGAGCCAGUUGGCCUUGAAAACGGUACCCAUAGCUACAGAGAAAAAGGUCAUGGGUAAGUCAACCCGUCAAACACUUGUUGAGUGGCUAAGAGAAUCCAUUAACCCACCAGACACUUGUCGAGUGGCUAAGAGAAUCUAUUAACUGGCCAAUAAGGGACCAGGUUUGGGCACAAGGGCGACUUAAGAAUUUCCUAUUACUCAGAGAAGGUAUCCCACGGCAUCCAAGACGUGCGGUAAAAUGAUGAAGUCUGAAUCUACAAACAGUUUUCCACACAGUAAGCAGUGCAAUGCGGAUCUACGAGCAAGGUAAAAUAACAGAAAAAGGCUUGGAUGAAGCAAAACGGGCUGUGCCUAAAAAUGAAUAUGGCGGAGAUGAUUUGGCCGAAGCUUUUUUGGUUUUUGAAUAGGAAACUAUUUAAUCAAGGAUGCGGUUAACGCUAUUACAUCAGCUAUUACCAUUGACCAAUCAACAUGCAAAGGGAAGCUCGAAGUGUUCUAAGAACAUGGCAUGUGGCGGAUGCCGAAGGAUCAGGAUCUGAUUGCAACUGAUGAAGAUCUGACCUGCUAAUGGCGUCCGGAAGCGACUGUGCGGGUCCGCGGCGAGGACAACGUUCUCGCUAGGUUGAAGAUAUGUCAGACGCAGUGGGCGGCGAUGGAGUCCAUCGAGCGGCGACAGAACUUCAUAGGCGGUGGCGGAGUCCCUCGGGCGGCGGCGGAGUCCCCCGAGCGGCAACAGAUCUCCGCACGCGGCGGCGGAGUCCCUUGGGCGGCGACGGAAUCCUUCGGGCGGUGCAGAAAUCCUUUGGGCAGCGACGGAGUUCUUCGGGUGGUGUCAGAUUUCUUUGUGUGGUCACGAGGAAGAAGAAGUCGAUGGGACGAGUAGGUGAAGAUUCCCUCCGCUCCUGUUCCCGAGCCUAUUUAAUAGGUCGGGUGCAUGGAUCGAGGCGCCUCGCGCGGGAACCAAAAGGGCAAACUAAAGAUUCACACUUAUGGCGCCAAGAUUUUCGGGAUAUUUGCGCCACGAGAUCCGCUGGAGAUUGCGUCAUCAUUUUCCGAGGUUAAAGGGAUAAGGUGAUGUCAUCAAGAAACGGUUCGGCGACUUGGAUAUUUCCAUGGAGGAUGGCGGCUUAAGCAUAUGAUGCAUGAAAGGAGUGGAAUGAGUCGCUCCUAAACUAGGUAAGAGUUUAUUGGCGAGAACAGGUUCAAGUCAAUCUGGGGCCUAAUGUUGGGGAUAUUAUCUGCGGCGUGACCCGCCCUAGUUGGGCCGGGUCACCAAGUGGGUGACUCAUCCUUUGGUGGUUCAAGCUUUGGCCCAGAAGGCCCAGGAGCUGGAUGGCGGUUCAAGAUCCACAUGGAGGAUAAAUUAUCGGGGAGUUCUCCAGUCUUUGAAAGCACGGCGAUUUAGAGAUAGAAAGAAUCACGACUUGUGUUAUGGCAAGGACUCUUGUAAACCCUAAGGCCUCGACCUGUAUAUAAAGGUGAGUUCCUGGAGAGGAGAGGGCAGGUUAGAAAUCAUCGAGAACUAGGUCAGGCGAGUUACUCCCUCCUUGUAAUCGAAACAUCAUCAAUACAAAACAAAGCAGGACGUAGGCUUUUACCUCCUCACGAGGGGCCGAACCUGGGUAAAUCUGAGUCCCGCUCCCGUUCAACCCCUUUGAGUCGCCACCAAGGUGCGAUGGCUCCAUCAUUAAGUCCUUUCACUAGGACAUCUGCCGUGACAAAACCACGACAAUCGUCAAGCGUUUUCUCACAGAAAUUGAGAAGUGGGACGUCGCCACAGGCAGCAUGUUCGACAUCGAACUGCUCAAACUCUGGGUAACCUUGUCUACAGCGAGCCCAAGGCGCUGCUCCUCACGUGAAAAGAAUCCGCCACCAAGAAUGAGGCUACCGGGGGCUCCGGUGACCAGCCGAAAGCGCCACCGUUAGUCCAAGAAGUCGUGCGCCGUGUGCUCGGCGGAAGCGGAAACUCGCGACGAGGCGACCGUACGAGCCGCCCAACAGACGGAUGCAAAACGCCGCCCUCACGGUCCGGACGACAUCAACAUAUCGGUGUAGUGCUUGCCUAUACGAGCCACCCAACAGACGCGCGCAAGACGCCGCUCCCGCAGUCCGUUCUCCAUGAACAUAUCAGUGCAGUGCUUGCCUACAUGAGCCGCUCAAGAGACACGCGCAAGCCGUCGUACCCAUGGUCCAUUAUCCAUUAACAUAUUGGUGCGGUGCUCUCUUAUAUGAGCCGCCCAACAGACGCAUGCAAGCCGCCUGUGCGGCCCGUUUCCCCAACAACAUUGGAGCAAAGGAAAAAAUAACAUUCAUGUCUUACUCAAUGUCAUCAAAACAUGGAGAGCUUGUCAUGAAGGAAACAUCUCUGGUGAAGGCUACAAAUUGAGUCGGCCAUCAUUAAGUCGGCAAAUUCAAAGUAAACAGCAAAGGAAAAACAAAGUGGCCCUCGAGGAACCAUGAGAGUCGGACUACCUGAGAAUCAAGCACGGGUCAAAAAUCCAUCAUCAACUGUCAAAUCUUAUGCCGGUUUAUGCCACAAUCAAGUAUGAAGAAUCUCAAGCCGCCUCCUUGAGUCGACUUAAGACUCGGGGGCUACAUGGACAUGGCUCGGCAGACUCAACUGGGAUGAAUAAUUCAAGAACCCCGGGUCGUUACAGAAAAAUCAAGCCGGUCUCGGGGGCUGAUGCCUCAUUGACAAGAUGAUUUAAAGAUCGCCUAAGAAGACAAGUCGCCAUGAUGCGACCGCCCAAACAUGGGUGCCCGACCUAGCCGUCCAAGCAUGGACGCUAUCAGUAUCAAAGAGCAUAAGUCGUCAUGAUGCACUUAUUUCAAAACUGGAUACUGGUAAGCCAAAGAGGACCAAAGUUGCCACAUUGCACGGUUCAAACAUGGGCGCCUUAUAUGGUUUUGAGGAUUAAGCCGACUUACUUGGGGCUUACUAGCUCCCAAGUCGUUUUGCAGUAAGAGCGUACGCUUCUGCAAUCCUAUGUCUAGCUUUUCCCUAAUCAUAGGUCACUUGGGGGCUUCCACUCACUGAGUUCAGCCUAAAUACCCUCUUGGCUAGCGAAAAAUUAACGCAUUACAAAUGGUUAUACUGGACUGUGUGUUGGGAAAUCGCCCUAUGAUCCCAUGUACUCUUGGCGAGUCAAUCCGCUUUUGGACCCUGAACUUGCCUUGGUUAAAACAUGAAAGGUACUGGCAAGAGCCAACGCAUGGAAAAUAGACAAACCAUUGGUUCACUGAACCUGCUUCACUGAAGCCUGACUCACGCGUGAUCAGCCGGUCUAAAUAAUUCAGGCUAUUGCAAAAGCCUUCUUGGGGUAACACUAGAGUUUUGCAAACUCGUCUUGUCGUGUCGUGACUCAUCGAGCCGACAAAUUUUAUGAUUAUCUUUGUGGCACUGCCAUAAAGUUUUUAUAAAAAGUUUUAUAACUCGCCGAGACUCACUGAGUCGGCCGCCGUGACUCACUGAGCCGGCUUAACCUCUUUUGGGUACCACUAGAGCCUUGAGAGCUCGUCUUACCCGCCGAGACUUACUAAGCGGGCUAUGGUGUAACCAACACUAUUCUGUCAUAUGCAUGCAUCAUAUUGCAUUGCAUCAUGCAUCAUACAUACAUAUCAUGCCGGUCUUCAAACCGGGUCAAAGCAUAAUUUUUUGCAGGAGCAAAUAUAUCUUUGAAUAGCCAAUUGGCUGGAUUUUCAUCAUGGUUUAUCAUAACCAGUGUUAAAUGAUUGAGGUUUUUAAGGCCAUCUCGGAAGAAUUGACUAUUGUCAAAGAGCCGCCCUAUCACAUAUAAUGCCGAGUCAUCUAAUUGACUGACCCUUGGAUUUCUUCAACUCGUGCUCUGUAGUAAACUGCAACACUUAUGGAUUUCUCCGACAUAUGGAUUUCUCAAGGAUAUAUUUGCCGGGUUACAUUGCAACCAUGGUCAAGGAUUUCUUUUAUCACAAAGGCAUCAUCAGCUCACAGAGUGGAUAUGAUUUUAUUCUACAAUGGAAGGAAUAGUCCCAAGUUGUUGCAGGCACACAACCCGGCACUUGAGGGCUACAUUAUUCAGAUCAAGAUUACAUCAAAAUAUGAAAGUCCCAUGUCGCUGCAAGCAUGCGCCAUGACACUUGGGGGCUAAUGCAAUCCGCUUUUCAAAUCAUCACAUCAUCAACAGACCCGGCUACAGGUCGCUUUUUAUUCAAGUAUGGAUUCAAGGAAGAACCGGCUCAUCAUUUUUAUAAUGACCCGGUCCUUGGGAGCUACACAUUGCUGCUCAAGGUUCCAUCAUCAGAUUUACAAAGUCAUUGCUCAUUAUUUCAUAAUGACCCGACCCUUGGGGGCUACACCAUAUGAUGUUUAAUUUUCAAAGGAGAAGCACGUGGAAGUCCCGAGUCACCACAAACAAUCGACCCGUCACUUGGGGGCUACACUAUUCAGAUCAUAAUUUCUAAAGUCCCAGGUUGCCGCAGGCAAGACAACCCGACACUUGGGGGCUACAUCACUAAGUUGUUUCACAGAUCAUGAGGUUCAAAUUGAAGACCCGGCCCAUCACACACUCAUGACCUGGCUGUUGGGGGCUACAUGUAAUAUGGAUAUAUCAAAAAAUUGAAGAGCACAUUUUAUUUCGUCAUGGAGGUGAAGUAUUGGGAGACCGGUUCAACAUCACAUGGAUUUCUUUAUCCCCAAUAAUUCGAUAUAGUCUUGAGUUCAGUUGUUUGACGAGGCAUUACAAAUAAUAAUGACCCGCCAUUAGCAAUCAUGACCCGCCAUUGUCAAACAUAACCCGCCGAAGCAAGAGAAGCUGGUUCAACAUUGUGUAGAUUUCUUAUUCCCCAAAUUUUCAUCAAGCCAAAGCAUUGGAGGCCGACUCAAUUGCAUUUGUAUUUAUUUUGCAAAGGACAUGGACCUGCAAGAUGAUUGUAAAAAUGACUCAUUCAUAUGGAGAAGAGACCGGAUUUCUGAGGAGCCACUUCAUAAACCAGCCAAGGGAGCGAGCCUGUCACUUAGCAUAUUUGCUAUUCUUAUUUCAGGAGCUUACCAUGAAUAAAUUCAAGCUAACCUGGGGGCUAAUGUCGGGGAUAUACCCCGCGGUAUGACCCGGCACACGGUUAUGACUGGGCAGACAGUUAUGACCGGCAGACAAUUAUAACCCGCCAGACAGUCAAGUUCCGGAGAUGAUUCCCUGAAGAUGAAUCUUAAAGAGCAGCCCGGUUGUAAGCUGCCCGGUCAUAAGUCGCCCGGGACUCAGCAUUCCGUUUGUAAGGAGCCCGGUUGUAAGGAGCCCGGUAGUAAGCAGCCCGGUCGUAAGCCUCCUGGGACUCAGCAAUCUGUUUGUAAGCAACCCGGUCGUAAGCAGCCUGGUUGUAAGUCGCUCGGGACUCAGCAAUCCGUUCGUAAGUCGCCCGGACUCAGAAGCCCACGAAGAGAAGCUCGUAAUGGAGAGUCAUAAUAUGCUAAGCCUAAAUCCGGCUUGGACUCUAUAUGUAACUCGCCCCUUCAGCUUAUAUAAGGAGGGGCGAGACACCCCAAGAGGGUUAGGGUUUUUUAGAGGUCUCAAGAGACAGAUUCACAACUUAGGUGUAGACAAGACAGAUCAUGAGAUAGACAGAUUAGACACCCACGAGAUUAGAGGUGCAGAGUCUGCACCCUUGUAAUCGAGAUCAUCAUCUUCAUCAAUGAAACACAAGCAGGACGUAGGCUUUUUCCUCCAUCGAAGGGGCCAAACCUGGGUAAACUCGCGUCUCUCGAUUCCGACCAACCCCUUCAAGCCGCCACAUGGUUGCGAUGGCCUCACACCUAAGUCCUUGUACGAGGAGAUCUGCCGUGACAAAACCACGACACCGUGCUAGGCCAGAAGGAAGCAUCUCCAAGGGCCAUGAAAGAGAGGAGGCCAUUGAGUUUUCUGUUGACUUUAUUCCUGAUAUUAAGACGAUUGUUGUUCCUCAGUCGCGGCAUGAGGGGAGACUGAGUGGAAAAGGCAUGCUAGGACCAAAAUCAAUAAUAUGUAGGUAUGGGCAUUCUUGGAUGCAAACACACUACAUAAUUUUACAAAAUUCUACCUUGGUGGCCCCGUAUAUCAAUGAACACAAGAAUAUUCUAUGCUCCAAAUACCAGGAGCAGUCUGGUGACUCGAUUACACAUGAACAAAUGGGGACUUUCGACGGUUGGCUGCAAACACGUCUCAGGAGUAACAAAUUGUUGGAGAUGACUUGUAGUUGUUGUCCAGGACACCAUCUUCGGCCGUAUUGACUUUCCAAGGGUACGAGAUAAAUGGGAAUACAUUUUACAAAAUCGCCCAAGAUAAAAAGAGAACCAACCAAAACAGUGGUUUCCGCUUUGAUGCAGGAAACACCAAUAGGGCAAAGGACAAAUAUUAUGGUUACAUAGAGGAGAUAUGGGAACUUGACUAUGGGCGUGAUGAUUUUAAGGUCCCUUUAUUUCGGUGCAAAUGGGUAAAUCUGAUAGGAUGCGGGGUACAGGUAGACCCGCAGUAUGAAAUGACAACAGUGGAUCUCAACAAUCUUGGGUACACAGAUUAACCAUUCAUCAUAGCCAAUGAUGUGGCGCGGGUUUUCUAUGUGAAGGUCAUGUCUACCAAACCAAGAAAAAGGAAAAAAUAAGGAAGUGAAUACAUCAUACGAUGAGACAAAGAGCCACAUAGUUCUUUCAGGGAAAAGAAAGAUCCUGGGAGUGGAGGACAAGGCAGACAUGUCAGUAGAUUAUGAAAAGUUUCAUGAAAUUACUCCCUUCAUAGUGAAGAUUUACCUAAGCAUCCUCUUAAAUGAUGAAGAUUAUUCAUGGUUACGACGCAAUAAGAAAAGGGACAAACUGGAGAGAAUCUUAGCUAGUGCAUUUUGGCAUUUGAAACAUGAUUUUAGAAUAAUUAUUUAUUAAAUUAUGAAUUUUCAAUUAUUCCUGUCCUUUUAUUAUUCAAGAUAAGCCGCUUGAGGUACGAAGGAGAUUGUACAGUUUGUACACGAAGUGCAUCCAUUUUUGUUGUAACCCUCUCAACUUUCUAGACGAUGCUAUGUGGGUGAAAUGAUGAUACCAUGCCAAAUUUCAACCUUUUCCGAGUUCAUUUGUAGUGCUUUUCAAUUUCAGGGUCAUUUGACUCAAAAAACCAUUGAAUGCAUGAAAAAUAGCAAAUGAAGUCAGAAAGGGUUGAAAAUUGCUGAUGUGGCUUUGAAUGGUGCAUAUUGAAUGCGCAAAAAGUUUGGAGUAGAAAUAAGCUUAAAAAUGAAAUGCCUUUGUAACAAAUGAGUUUUUGUCCGAAACCAUCAUACUUUGAAAGAGAUUGUCCAGUUCGUACACGACGUUCAUCCAGUUUUUGCCGUAACUCUCUCAACUUUUUAUCACAUGCUAUGUGGGUGAAAUGAUGAUAGCAUGCCAAAUUUCAACCUUUUCAGAGUUCAUUUGUAGUGCUUUUCAAAGUAAUAUGUGGGUGAAAUGAUGAUCCGGAAGAAACAUUUUGACAGCAUUAAUCGCCCCGUGUCAUAUUUUCAAAAACAUAUUGAUAAACCACCACCCAAUGCUAGCCCUUGAAUGCGAAAUGUUGCGGGAAUGGUACCUAUGAAAAAUAUCUCUAUAGAGCUAUUAGUCACUCUUUGAUGAAAACCUAUAUAAUCAAUCAUUGCAUUCAUACAAUCAUUCACUCUAGCAAGCAUUCCAGUAAUCAAAAUACAAUCAAUGAAUAAAGCAAUAAAUAAAACAAUAAGGUUAUUAGGUUAAAAAAAGUAUUUUAUAAUAUUCUUCAAUAGCAAAAAGAAUCAACUAGAAAGCUUUUAUAAAACUCUUGUUAUGAUCAAAAUAUUAUUAACUUAACAUUAUAUAAAAUUUAACCAACUAAAAUUUUCAUGAAGUAUUUUUUCUUAAAAACUUUAAUAGUAAACAUAAUUAAAUGAAAACUAGGCAUGUAUGCAUCUGUUUAAAAGAAAACUAGGCAUGUAUUUUUUUCUCCAACGUAUCGAUAAUUUUUUAUUGUUCCAUGCUAUUAUAUUAUAUGUUUUGGAUGUUUUAUAUGCAUUUAUAUGUUGUUUUAUAUUAUUUUUGGGACUAACCUAUUAAUCUAGAGUCUAGUGCGAGUUUCUGUUUUUCCACAUUUUUGAAUAUUGUAGAUAAAGAAUAUUAAAUGGAGUCCAAAUGGAAUAAAAUCUGCGAAAAGAUUUUUUUCUCGACGAGAAGACACGUAACAUACUUAGGGUAGGGGGCAAGGCAGUUGUCGGGAGGCCACAAGCCUGCAGGGAGCAACGAGAACACUUUUACGCCGCCGGGAAACCCCUGCACGUCUUCUAACCCUAACUCUUGGCCUAUAAAUUCCCAAAUAUUCCAGAAACACUAGAGGGAGCAACGAGAAUGCUUUUACGCCGCCGGGAGCCUCUGUUCCCAAGAGAUCCAAUCUGGAAGCCUUGUCCGGCAAUCUGCUGGAGAGGGAAUUGAUCACGGAGGGCAUCUACAUCAACUCCAUUGCCCCUCUGAUGAUGUGUGAGUAGUUCACCACAGACCUAUGGGUACAUAGCUAGUAGCUAGAUGGCUUCUUCUCUCUCUUUGAUCUUCAAUACGAUGUUCUUCAUGAUCUUCAUGGAGAUCUAUCCGAUGUAAUACUCUUUUGCGGUGUGUUAGUCGAGAUCCGAUGAAUUGUGAGUUUAUGUUCAGAUUAUCCAUGAAUAUUAUUUGAAUCUCUUUUGAAUUCUUAUAUGCAUUAUUUCAUAUCCUUGCAAUUCUCUUUGAAUUAUUUGUUUUGUUUAGCCAACUAGAUUGAUAAUUCUUGCAAUGAGAGAAGUGCUUAGUUUUGGGUUUAAUCUUGCGGUGUCCUCACCCAGUGACAGUAAGGGGUAGCAAGGCACGUAUUGUAUUGUUGCCAUCAAGGGUAAAAAGAUGGGGUUUUCAUCAUAUUGCUUGAGUUUAUCCCUCUACAUCAUAGCAUCUUACUUAAUGUGUUACUCUGUUCUUCAUGAACUUAAUACUCUAGAUGCAGGCAUGAGUCGGUCGAUGUGUGGAGUAAUAGUAGUAGAUGCAGAAUCGUUUCGGUCUACUUGAUACGGACGUGAUGCCUAUAUGCAUAAUCAUUCCCUUGGAUAUCUUCAUAAUUAUUUGCUUUUCUAUCCAUUGCUCAACAGUAAUUUGUUCACCCAUCGUAUUAUUUUCCUUUAUGAGAGAAGCCUCUAGUGAAACCUAUGGCCCCAGGGUCUAUUUUUCAUAUCAUAUUUUCAGAUCUAUAAACCAAAAAUACCAAAAAUACUUUGCUACAAUUUAUUUACUUUAGUUUUACUUUCAGAUCUAUCAAUAUUUAAUACCUAUCUCUAUCAGAUCUCACCCUUGCAAAUAACUCUCAAGGGAUUGACAACCCCUUUAAAGCUUUGGGUGCAAGUUUUUGAUUAUUUGUGUAGGUACUACUAUUGGAGUCUUGUUUGUUACUCCUACUGGAUUGAUACCUUGAUUGUCAACAAACUGAGAGAAAUACUUAUCUACUUGGUUGCAUCACCCUUUCCUCUUCAAGGGAAAAUCAACGCAAGCUCAAGAGGUAGCAAGCGCCGCCCCAAUCCCCUACACUUCAUUAACCCUGAUGCCCUCGGCGCCGUCGCCUCCCACACCGUUGCCGACGCGCCCCCCACGCUAUCCCCGAGCCCUUCCUCGUCGCCGACGCCUCUUCGCUAUGAGUGCCCCCCGAUCCCCUCCUCCCGUCGAGGGAGUUGAAAAUGUUUUGGCAAAACGUGGGUUCAUUUAUGUAUCAUCGAAUUUCUGGCAUUCAGUAUGUCCAUUUUUUACCAAUGGUCUUGUCAAUUUUUCCAUUGAUUUUUUAUUCUAUGCAUGCAACACAAAAUGGAAGAAUGCCCGUAUAGUUUUGACGCAGCUGUAUGUGCGACGAUCCUCACCUUGACUAUAGUAAAUGUUAUUCCAUCACUCUACAAUGUGACUACAACUAUUAUAAUUUUAAGUUUGCUAGCAAAUACAAUUUUCUGUUUUCCUUCAAACUGUAAUUUAUGUUUUAUAUUUGUCAACUAGUGUGUCCCUUGCUAUGCAAGACCUUUUCUCCUAGACAAAUUUUUUGUUAGUGACAUGGAAGAAGUGACUCAGAUGACUACUUACCUCAAGAUGAAAGGUGGUUUCAAUUUCAAAUGUACGAUCUAUAAUUAGGUAGAUCAUACAUAUUCUAGUUGUGCUAAUAGAAAGGAUUGACCAAAGCAUACGGUUUUGAGCCUGUUAUGAAAAUAACAUUUGAUAUUGGCACAUAUUCUGUAAGUGAUGACGACACAUGGGUGAAUUUAGACAUGAUGCCCACCUCCGUGUAAGUUUCUUAGAUAGGCUUGUUAAAUAACACUUAGAUUAUACACCAAAAUAGAUGUUAUUCAACUAGAACUUAUCUUCUUUAUUUAGAAUUGAUAGCUUAUUUUCUAUCUCCAAGAAAUAUAAGGGACAUAGUAGACGACACCUAUUACACUAUCUGCAGUAUGCUUACUUGGCAGGAAAAAUGUUACCUUAUGUUCUUUCUUGCUAACAUUGAGUCCCUUAAGGGCAUUUAUGGGGCUUGUCCGAAUGAUGCACGACACCUGCCACUAGUCCAUACCUUGAACAAAGGCAACAUUUGUGGAAAAUGCAUGGUAAGAGUUUCGACUAUAGCAUGUCUUUCACAUAUUUGCUUUCUUCUUACAGAAGUCAAGUGUCGGUUACUAAAUGUUGCUUAGUAUGUUACUAUUUCGUUCAAGGACAGAAGCUCUCAAGAUGGGUUGUGCCUCCGAUGAUGGAUGACCACGAGGAUGUUAUGGCAAUUAUUUUUGCCCACAAGAUCUAUUUCAGAGGUACAUACUUGAUUACACUAGAUGGGCAUCUUAAAAUAAAUGAAUGGAAGCAACUAGUGAGUGACUGCAACUUGAAGAUUGGGGAUUGGUGGCUCUGCGUACUCCACCAUGGAGAUGCAGGGUUUUUUCUAUACUUCAAGAUUGUUCCUACAGGAGAGGAGUACCGUAUUAGUAGUUACGAUGGUUAAUGUUUGUAUAUAUAUAUAAAUGAUGUGUACCAUAAUAUUAAUUAUAUUUUACGUGUUGUAAUAUCUCAUCGGCAUCAAUUUGGGAUGCAAAUGUGGUUCUCUAUAUAAUGAUACAAAAUUGCGUUGUCGUGGAGGCAUUUUUCGCUGCCAUGGCAGCAUUUUUGCUGCGUUUUGUCAAUUAGUAAUGACGUGUGGAAAAAUGUACGACGUCCGUAAUGAUCUCCCUAGUUUCUAACAUUUGGAAAGAUUGCACGCUAUAUAUAUGUAUGAUAUUGUUGUCAUGGAGAUAUGACCAACGCCAUAGCUACCUGAAAUACUGUUGGCGCUGGCUCCAACGUCACCACAAUUUUUAAUUGAUGCGCCAUAUUGGUAGUAUCGGGUGUCCAUGCCAGUAAGGCCGUUUUUACCACUCCAUAGAGAAGCUUUUCUACACUAGUGUUAAUUUCAAUCCAGUUGAAAGUCACCCUUUACUCGCAAGUAGUCUCGUACUUUGUUCUUCUCCUUGUUGCAAAUCCCUUCUCGAGUCGCAAUUGGGCCUGUAGUAGGUGUUUUUGCACUUGCAAGUUCAUCCCUCGACUCGCAACUGGGCCCAUACGUGUUGUCGACUUACCGUUUUGAAGCCCAUGCCUGGGCUCGCAACAAGGCCCAUAUGUGUUGUAGUCUUCCUCUUUGCAAGCCCACCCCCUCGACUCGCAUCCCUCCCUAUAGUUUUUUCUAACCCAGUUUCAAGUCCAUCCUUCACUCACAAACCGGGCCCGUACUUUUUGCUCUUUCCAAGUUAUAAGUCCCCCUCGAGUCGCAACUAGGGCCCAUAGGGUGUAGUUGUUGUCCCACUUGCAAACCCAUCACUCGACUCGCAAUUCGGGCCCAUGGGUGUUUCCAACUAGGUUCUAAGUUCAUCCUCCUCUCGCAAUUGGGACGUAUCUUUUGUUUUUGUCCCAGUUACCAGUCCUGCUCGAAUAGCAACUCGUCUCAUAGGUAUUCUUUUCUUCCCAAUUUCAAGCCAAUCCCUUGGACUCGCAACUUGGCUCCUAGUUAUUUUCAACCGAGUUGCAAGUCCAUUUUUGACUUGCAAAUGGGCCCAUAUUUUUUAUUCUUGCACCCAUUUCAAGUCCCCCCUUGACUUGUAACUCGACCUGUACUUGCCCUUGUCCUAGUUGCAAGUCCCCCAUCGAUUCGAAAUGGGCCCGUCGUAAGUGUGGUCCGACUUGCAAUGCAUUCCUCGACUCACAACUGGCCCCAUAUGUGUUGGUCUUCCCUGUAGCAAGCCUACCUCUCGAUUUGCAACUUGCCAUGUACUUAUUUCCAAUCCCGUUGCAUGACCAUCGACUAGCAAGUCCACCGAUGUUGGUGUCGUCCUGGUUCCAAGCCCGCCCCUCAAAUCUCCUUUACGCCAUUCACUGCGGCACAAUGUCAUUGUAUCACACAACGGUAGAAGCGAGCAAAUUGCAGAUGGAUCGGCCCAAGUCGCUAUGAUCCAUUUUGCUUGUCUUGUUUUUCUUCAUGGUUUGUCCUUGUUUAUCAGCCUGGGCAUUUGGGUACCCUAACCCGCUACCCGAGCCCGAACUGAACCGAAUUACUUGACAAUUCGGGUAAUUCGGGUAUCGGGUUAGGGUUCGGUUCUCAUUUCCUGGCUAUUCGGUUUUCGGGUUGGGGUUCGGGUUCUAGUCUGAAAAACCCGAAAUACCCAUACUACUCGAAUUAUUCAUACUAGCCAAAUUAUUCAUGCUAUUAUUACACUCACAUGUUACCCAUACUAACUAAAAUAGCGAGACUAUCCAAAAUACCCACACUACCCAAAUUAUUUAUACCAAAAUUUGAUGUGUGCUCCAAAUAUUUUGGGAUCUUUGGGUACCCAAAUUAUCCGAACCAAAAUUUUGGGUAAUUUGAGUUUGGGUACUUUUUUGGCAGAAAAAUUCGGGUUCCCAUUUUGAGUACACAAAUUACCCAUAAACCGAACUAUCCGAACCGAAAUAACCAAAGUACCCGAACGCCCACGUUGACUUGUUUAUCCCUUUUUUCCUUUUUUUUCUUCGCUAGCUUUUCUUUCCUUUUUAAUUUUUUUGUUUUUUAAAAAUAUUAUUUUUUAUUUUCAUUUUAUUAUUAAUCAUUGUUUAGAAAGUGUAUAAUUUGAAAAAAAAAAUCUUUUUCAAAAAGUGCUUGGAUUUUUCAAAAGCAAAUUAAGUUCUUGUUAUUCAAAAAAUAAUUGCAGGUUUAAAAAAUGAUUGUGUUUUAAAAAAAAUACUCAAAUGCUGAAAUAUUUAUUCCAUUUUAAAAAAAUGUUCACAAAUGAUGUCCGUCUGUCAGUAACUCUUAAGCUUUACAUAUACUGGACCAAGGGUGACACCAUGUUAGAUGACCCCUAGUCACAAAAAACAAUUCAAAAACUUAAAAAUUGUUUGUAUUCUCAUAAAUAUCCCUCAUAUUUCAAAAUUCUUCAUAAUUUGCAGAAAAAUUAACUUCUUUUCAAAAAUGUCUACAAAUCUUCACGCUUUACUUUGUUCUUAAGUGUUUCCCGCUUCUAAAACAUCACAAACAUUGAUGUGUUGUAAUGGUAAGAGUUGGUGCUCAGCAGUAUGAGGUCCUAUGUUUGAUUCUUUAGGAGCGCAAUAUGUAUCUCUUUUUGUUGCACUUAAAAAGAAUCCAAAAAACAAAUAUUCCCUCGGUGCCUAAAUAUAAGUCUUUUAGGAGGUUUCAGUAAGGGGACUACAUGCGGAUGUAUAUAAACAUAUUUUAGAGUAUAGAUUCACUUAUUUUGCUUCGUAGGUAAUCUCUAGUAAAAUCUUUAAAAAGACUUAUAUUUAAAAAUGAAGGGAGUAAUAAAAGUUAGAUGUGAGGUAUUAUGUCACGUCUAGAUGAGAUGUGACAUAGUUGGAUCCUUUCCUUUUGGUGGAGUAUUUUGCCCACGGCCUGGAUGCAGGAGGCCCAACCGUGGCUUGAGAGCAGAAAUAAUAAAUCACGGCAUAAUGAGCAUUGUAGUUAGCAAGUCCUUGCCGGUGGUGGUCGUCGGCCCUUGCGCCGGCAUCGUCCAUCUCUCCUCUUUCGACAGGUGCAUGCCUCCCUUCCCAGUCACUCUGCUUCUUGUCUUCAACCAGCCAAUCGAAGACCCCGUCGAGACCAUCAAGAAGGCGCUGUCGCAGGCGCUGAUGCACUAUCCCCCGAUGGCCGGCCGCACCGGCGACGACGGGGAGGGGGAGCUCCACAUCGCUUGCACCGGCGAGGGUGUCUCUUUCGUGGGUGCGUCGGCUAGCUGUGCCCUCGACGACGAGGCCACGAGAUCGGCGCUGCUCCUCAGCGACCUCGCCGUUGGCUACCCCGCCGAAUACUGCCGCCUCAGCGACCCCUUCCUGCUUAUGCAGGUGACCGAGUUCUCCCGCGGCGGGUUCAUCGUCGGCGUGACGUGGAACCACGUCAUGGCCGACGCGGCGGGGAUGGCGCAGUUCCUGCGGGCCGUUGGCGAGCUCGCCCGGGGGAUGCCGGCGCCGGCCGUCGCUCCGGUCAGGUCUGAAAUCGACGGCUCGGUGCCACGACUCCCGCCGCUGAUGGUCGCCGCUGUGAGGUCCCAGAUGCGCAUGGAAACGGAGGAACUCGCGAGCCUCGACGUCACCAUCCCCUCGAGCUUGAUCGGCCGCAUCAAAGAAGAGUGCGCCGGCGACUGCACGGUGUUCGAAGCCGUCGCAGCCGUGCUCUGGCGGUGCCGCACCCGCACGGUCAUCUCCGAUGCUGACACCGACGACCCUGUGGCCUUCGCCUUCCCGAGCAACGUGCGCGGCCUCGUCGGCGCCAAGGAAGGCUACUACGGCAAUUGCGUCGCCAUGCUGCAGGUCCAAGCCAGUAGCGCCGCGGUGGCGAGCGGCGACAUGAAGGACCUGGUGAAGCUCAUCAAGCUUGCAAAGGAGAAGGUAUCAGACAUAUUCGUGAAUGCCGGCGACGAGACCAGCGACGGUGCCAGUAGAGAUGAGCAGCAGCGGGCACACCCGCGCUCAAGGUACAACACGCUGAGUGUCACGAGCUGGAGGAACCUUGGGUUCGAAGCCGUGGAUUUCGGGCCUGGGAGGCCGGCGCGCGUGAUGUGGAAGCCACACCGGACGAUUGGGUUCGUCUGCGUUGUGUGCCCGCCGUGCAAUGCAAGGGGGGAGGACGGCGUCAACGUCGCGUCCUUUUGCGUCAAGCCGGAGCACGCCGGCGCGUUUGUAGCGGAGUUGGCGGCCCUCAACAUAUAAAUGCGAAUUCGUAGUAUCAUGUACUAGUAUCAUAUAAUCCCUCCGUUCCUAAAUAUAAGUCUUUUAAUCAAUUUCACUAAGAGACUACAUACAGAGCAAAAUGAAUAAAUCUACAAUCUAAAGUAUGUCUAUAUACAUCCGUAUAUAGUCCUUUAGUGGAAUAUCUAAAAAGACUUAUAUUAUGGAACGGAGGGAGUAUAUGAUAGUAGUGUAUGAUACCACAUCCGUAAUGCAUAGUAUCAUACGUUACUAUCAUAGAAUAGUUCAUUUAUUGUAAUGCAAGACACAUACAGUAGACCAAGCAGCUAGCUUGGUAAGCUACCAGCAAAAACUUGCAAUCAAUCAAAAAAAAAGACACAUACAGUAGUAGCACAUCAUUUAAUAUGAUACGAUAUCAUGGUAUGGUACUCAACCCUUUCUUUUUUCAUUUAAUUCUAUGUCACCUCAUCGAAAUUGCCUAGUUGGCAUGCAUGUACUACCUAUGAUACUACCAUUACGGGCAGCUUAAUACUUCAUUUUCAAUCAGAGUGUAAACCUAAAAUGGACGAAUUAAUUAGUCUCGCACUUUUUUUCAUACUACUCCAUCUGUCCCGGUGUAUAAGUCAUCUUACGAAACCAAAUAAUUUCAAAAUACUUAACCGCGGUAUUUUUUUUUAAUUUUUUGACAUGAAUAAAGGAAUCACCAAUAAAAGGCGGGAGACAUGUAUGUUUUUAAUGAUGUGAGACUAACUAGCACGACAUGCGGUGAUCAAUUCAUUGCAUGUAAUUGUAUUAAUUAGAAAACUAGCAUUGAUUUUUCUCGUUUUCCUUUUCGUCUUUGUCACGGUACAUAACCUAAGAUGACUUAUACACCGAAACGACGGGAGGAACAAACAUGCAUGCCCACACCACGUCUCUCUUCUCGUACUUGUAUGCCGUGCCCUUUUGCAUAAAGUCCGAGCAAUUCGACGCUUUGUUAGUGGAGUUGACUGCCCCCAAAAUAUAAUGCCAACUACAUCUUUGAUGGUGCAUGUUGCAAGAACCGCCUAUUUUUAUGAAAUAAUAAAUAGUUUUUAUUUAUAUAUUUGUCCAUAAAUAAAGUUUUAAAAGAUGGAUAUAAAUUUAUUCUUAAAGUUUAGAUGAUGCAAAUAGUUGAAAAGUAUUUGCCCUACUCAUACUAAGUAACAUAAUACAAAUAACAUUAGGAAUCAGUUCUUUGAGCUUGUGUUGGACCCUGAAUUUUAUGAAACAUACUUACAUUAAUAAAAUGGUUGCAUGCAUCGUCAUGAUACAGAGACCGGGGACGAUCCUUGUUUUAUUUUUGAAAAGGCUUGCAUGGCAAGUACAAUAAAGCCCAAUCAACCACAUGUCUUCAAAACUGCCACAAGAAUAGUGGCCCAAUAGGACAAACAUGCCAGAUCACGGUAAACUGAAGCUGGAACAGAGAUCUAAAGGCUAGAAAUGAUCUAAACGUGAAAUACAACGACCGAAAUUUGUUGGGCGCUCAGUUUAGAUGCACUUUUAUUGUCCUCAAUUCAUAGUGCAUUUACAAUUCCCAAAAUAAUUUCUUCAAAUUUUGGGGUGAACCUAAAAUGGACCAAUCAAACGAUCCCAAACGGUUUUCUCAUAUAUGGUUACCUUUGCUUAUUGAUUUUUUUAGUACGGUUCAUAAGUUUUUCUUGAAUGAUUUUAAGAUUGAUACGCCUCUGCGACGAGGACCCCGACGCCUCUGCGCCCCUCGCGUUCACGAGCAACGUGUGUGGUCUCAUCGGCGCCAAGGAAGGCUACUACGGCAACUGUGUCAUCGUCCAGGUGAUACAAACAACAAGCGGUACAGUGGCGAGCGGAAAAAUCAAAGACCUCGUGGAGCUCAUCGGGCUUGCCAAGGAGAAGGUAUCAAACAUAUUCGUGAAUGGUGGCGAUGAGACCGGUGCCGGUGGUGGAGAUCAACAUCAGCUGGCAGCCGCGAGGUACAACACUCUUUGUAUCUCGAGCUGGAGGAACGUUGGGUUUGAAGCUGCGGAUUUCGAGGGUCGGCUGCGCCUCUAGCCACACAAUAUACAGCUCUUUUUAAUAUUGUACAAAGUAAGGAUUCUUAUGUUGCUACAAUUAUGCAACCAGUUCCUCUCAAUAUUCAGUUUAGGAGAUCUCUAGUAGGGGAAUGAUGCAAUGCAUGGCUCCAUCUAGUUCGCAGAUUGAUGGAAAUUCACUUGUCGGAAGAACCUGACACGAUUCAUUGAAGAUUAACUAUAAGCGGUAGUUUUUCAGUGAAAUCAAUGUAUCUGGAUAUUAUCAAUGCCGUAAUAAUACCCACUUGUCCACACAUUUUGAAAAUUAAAGUAUCUCUGAAGAUUAAGAUUUUCACGUGGUUUGUUCAUAAAGGACUUAUACUUACAAAAGAUAAUUUGGUUAAACGAAAAUUGGUAGAGGUAAUUCUAGAUGCUGCUUUUGUGAUCACAACGAGACUACUAAACACCUCUUUCUCGAGUGCCCUUUGACAAGACUUUUUAUGGUGUAGAUACGUCUCCAGCGUAGCUAUAAUUUAUAAAGUAAUCAUGCCAUGUUUAUCAUAAUUCUAUAUGAUUUUGGUAUGGUUUGAUUAGAACUAACCCGGACUGACGUUGUUUUCAGCAGAACUAUUGUGGUGUUGUUUUUUGUGCAGAAAUAAAAGUUCUUCAAAUGCAACAAAACUUUUAGACAAUUUUUUAUAUAAGGAAAUAGCCCGAGGAAGCUUCGAGGAAGAACCAGAAGAUGCUCAGGGUGCCCACACAACACCAUCGCACGCCCCCUGGGCGCGCCCUGAUGUUGUGUGGCCCCCCUGAGGCCCAUCUCCGCGUGAUUCCGACACUGAAAAAUCAUAUAUAUCAAGAAACCUCCGAAAGUUAACUAAGAACUUGGACUCCGCCGCCGCACGCCACUGUAUCCUCCAAAAAGCAAUCUGGACCCUCUUCCGGCACCCUGUCGGAGGGGGAAAUCAUCACCGGAGGCCAUCUUCAUCAUCCCGACAGCCACCAUGACAUGGAGGGAGUAGUCCACCCUCGAGGGUAGGGGUAUGUACUAGUAGCUAUGUUUUUGAUAUCUCUCUCCUGUGAUAAUGAGAUGUCACGAUCUUGAUGUAUCAUGGGCAUUGUUGAUAUAGAUGGAUCAUAUGAUGUUUCUCUCCUCUCCAUCCUUGGUGUGAUGAAUUGAAUCUUUUCCCUUUGAAGUUUUGUUAUUGUCAGAUUGAAUAUUCAGAUUUGGGAACACAUGAUGUAUGUCUUGCAUAAUCAAUAUUCGAGGUGACAAUGGGGUAUCAUAUUGAUUCACUUGAUGUAUGUUGUGGCACUCAACUUGCUGAUUCCUGUACUGACAUUGGGGUAAUCUAUGCAUAUGGGUUGAUGCACGUUUUCAUUAUCUUUUCUCUGAUAGAAACUUUGGGGAGUCCUUGUAGUUCUUUGUGUGGAUUGAAUAUUAUGAUUAUGAAGUUGUUUGAUGCAUAACGUAGAAUCAACUCACGAAUACUUGUGGUGACAUUGGAGUAUCUAGGUGACAUUAGAGUUGGUUGAUGUUGGGGAUAUAACCCCACGGUAUAAACCGUCCUAUUGGUCUGGGUUACUGAAGAUGGUGACUCAACGUUCAUAGUCAGGGCGGCCCCUGAUGUGCAAGAUUGGAGGCGCAAGGCGGGUCACCAAGAUGAGACCGUUGGCGGCCCAGGACACGAAGAUGGCGAUUUAAGGCCCAAAAGGAAGAAGGUCGCCAGGAGUUUCCUUGCUUAGGAGCAAGGCGAGUUAGAGACAUAUCGGGUCACAAAUCAUAACGUGACCCGGGUUCUUGUAAGCUUAGGGUCUCGACCUGUAUAUAAAGGCGAGUCCCCAAGGACAAUAGACUUAAGUUACAAUCCAUCGAGAGCCAAAUCAAGCGAAUUCGCACCCUUGUAAUCAAUUUCAUCAUCAAUAUACACAAAGCAGGACGUAGGACUUUACCUCCAUCGGAGGGGCCGAACCUGGGUAAACUCGUCUCUCGUUCCCGAUCAACCCCUUUGAGUCGCCGCAUAGUUGCGAUGGCCUCAUCACUAAGUCCUUUCACGAGAAAAUAUGUCGUGACAAAACCAUGACAGUUGGCGCCCACCAUGGGGAAGUCGCACGAUGGAGUUGAGUUCUCAAAGGGAGCCCUUCUAGGGUUCUGGAGCUACGCAGUUGGUCUUGUUGGAAAUAUUCCGUAGAGGCAAUAAUGAAAUAGUUAUUAUUAUAUUUCCUAUUUCAAGAUAAUCGUUUAUUAUCCAUGCUAUAAUUGUAUUGAAUGGAAACACAAGUGCGUGUGUGGAUACAUAGACAAAACAAUGUCCCUAGUGAGUCUCUAGUUGACUAGCUCGUUGAUCAAACAUGGUUAAGGUUUCCUAGCCAUGGACAAGUAUUGCCAGUUGAUGACGGGAUCACAUCAUUAGGAGAAUUAUAUGAUGUACAAGACCCAAACUAUAACCGUAGCAUGUGAUCGUGUCAUUUUGUUGCUAUUGUUUUUCUGCAUGUCAAGUAUAUGUUCCUAUGACCAUGAGAUCAUCUAACCCACUGACACCGGAGGAAUUCCUUGUAUGUAUCAAACAUCGCAACGUAACUGGGUGAUUAUACAGGUGUUCUACAGGUAUCUCCGAUCGUGUCCGUUGAGUUAGUAUGGAUCGAGACUGGGAUUUGUCACUCCGUAUGACGGAUAGGUAUCUCGGGGCCCACUGGGUAAUAGAACAUCACAAACAUGCCUUGCAAGCAAUGUGACUAAAGAGUUAUCCACGGGAUCUUGUAUUACAUAACGAGUAAAGAGGCUUACCGGUAACGAGAUUGAAAUAGGUAUGGAGAUACCGACGAUCGAAUCUCGGGCAAGUAACAUACCGAAGGACAAAGGGAAUGAUACACGCGAUUAACUGGAUCCUUGACAUAGAGGUUCAACCGAUAAGAUCUUCAUAGAAUAUGUAGUAUCCAAUAUGGGCAUCCAGGUCCCGCUAUGGUAUAUUGAACAGAGAGUGUCUCGGUCAUGUCUACAUAGUUCUCGAACCCGCAGGGUCUGCACACUUAAGGUCCGGUGACGUUUUGGUAUAGUUGAAUUAUUGAUAUUGGUAACCGAAUGUUGUUCGGAGUCCCAGAUGAGAUCCCGGACGUCGCGAAGGUUUUCCGAAUGGUCCGGAGAGGAAGAUUAAUAUAUAGAAAGUAUCCAUUUGGCUUCCGGAAGGUUUCCGGGCAUUACCGGUAAAGUACCGGGAGAGACGAAUAGGUUCCGUAGUUCCACCGGGAGGGGCCACUCACCCGGGAGAGAACCAAAGAGGCCCAGGGUGGCACACCAUCCCCUGGUGGGCUGGUGGCCAGCCCAAGUGGGCCUGGUUCAGACGAAGGAGGAGAAAGGAAAGGAGAGGUGGGGCAAACCGAAAUAGGAAGGGACUCCUCCUCCCAAUCGGAUUGGAGGGUGACUCCUCUUCCUUCCAUGGCGCGCCAGCCAACCCUAGGGAUUUUUCCCUAGGGCGCCACCCCUCCCUCUCUCCUAUAUAUAGUGGAGGUGAGAGAAGCUUUUGGCACCCAAGCCAUAGUACAACCCUCUCUCCCUCCACCACUUCGUGACACCCCGUAGCUAGUUCGGUACGGCACGGCGAAGCCCUGCCAGAGUAACUCCACCACCAUCACCGCCACGUCGUUGUGCUGCUGGAGAGUUCAGCUACCUCUUUGCCUCUCUUGCUGGAUCCACAAGGCAGAGAUCGUCAUCGAGAUGUACGUGUGCUGAAUACAGAGGUGUCGUCCGUUCGGUACUAGAUCGGGACGGACUUCGUGGGACGCUUGCGAUUCGGAUUGCGAAGACGUUCGACUACAUCAACCGCAUUUAUUAACGCUUCCCGCUUAGCGAUCUACAAGGGUAUGUGGAUCCGAUCUCCCCUCUCGUAGAUUAUCAUCACCAUGAUAGGUUUUGCGUGUGCAUACGAAAUUUUUUGUUUCCCAUGCGACGUUCCCCAUCAGUGGUAUAAAAGCUAGGUUCAUGCGUAGAUGAUAUCUUGAGUAGAACACAAAAGAGUUUGUGGGUGUUAAUGUUCAAUUUUCUGCCCUCCUUAGUCUUUUCUUGAUUUAGCGGUAUUGUUGGAUUGAAGCGGCCCGGACCAACAUUCCUCAUGCGCGUACGAGAGACCGGUUUCAUCGACUAACAUUCAACUUGUUGCAUAAAAAUGACUGGCGGGUGUUUGUUUCUUCAACUUUAGUUGAAUCGGAUUUGACCGAGGUGGUCCUUGGAGAAGGUUAAAUAGCAAUUUGCACACCAUCGUUGUGGCUUUGCAUAAGUAAGAUGCGAUCAUACUAGAUACCCAUAGCAGUCAUGUAAAUUUUGCAACAACAAAUUAGAGGACGUCUAACUUAUUUUUGCAGGGUAUGCAUGUGAUGUGAUAUGUCCAAUGACAUGACAUGAUAUAUUGGAUGUAUGAGAUGAUCAUGUUGUAAUAAUUAAAUAUCGACUUGCACAUCGAUGCUACGGCAACCGACACGAGCCAUAGGGUUGUAUUUAAUUAUUUUGUGCUUGGUGAUGCUUUUCUUUAUCGCUAGUAGUAGCUUUAGUAGUAACAUCAUAGUUAGCGCGACAACCUCGAUGGAAGCAUGAUUAUGGAGAUGAUGGUGUGGCGACGGUGACGAUGGAGGUCAUGCCGGUGCUUUGGUGAUGGAGAUCAAGAAGCACAAGUUCAUGGCCAUAUCAUGUCACUUAUGAUUUGCAUGUGAUGUUAAUCCUUCUAUGCACCUUAUUUUGCUUAGGACGACGGUAGCAUUAUAAGGUGAUCCUUCACUAAAAUUUCAAGAUAAAAUUGUUUUCUCCCCGACUGUGCACCGUUGCGAUAGUUCGUCGUUUCGAGACACAAAGUGAUGAUCGGGUGUGAUAGACUCUACGUUCACAUACAACGGGUGCAAAACAGUUGUACCACGCGGAACACUCGGGAUAAACUUGAGGAGCCUAGCAUGUACAGACAUGGCCUCGGAACACAAGAGACCGAAAGGCCGAACAUGAAUCAUAUAGUUGAUAUGAUCAACAUGGAGAUGUUCACCAUUGAAACUAAACUCAACUCACGUGAUGAUCGGACUUGAGUUAGUGAAUUUGGAUAAUGCGACACUCGAAUGACUAGAGGGAUGUCAAUUUGAGUGGGAGUUUAUUAGUAAUAUGAUUAGCUAAACUCAAUUAUCUUAAACAUAGUCUAAGUAAUCUUUGCAAAAAUUUAUGUUGUAGAUCAAUGGCUCGCGCAGUAGAAACCCUUAAUUUUAAUGCGUUCCUAGAGGAAGCUAAGCUGAAAGAUGAUGGAAGAAACACUGUUGACUAUGCCCGUAAUCUGAGGCUUAUCCUCACGGCUGCCCAAAAGCAAUAUGUCAUUGAUGCAGCACUAGGUGAUGCUCAAAGAGAGAUAAAUUGCCAUCCAGGUACUGGCUAUGGACCCGUAGGUCUGUGGUGAUCCACUUACAUAUCAUCAUGAGGGCAUCAAGGUUGAUGAAGAAGCCCUCGGUGAUCGAUCCGACCUCUGGCAGAGUGCCGAGACAGAGCUCUAGAUGGACCCCCGUCAGAACAGAGACUUGUGGCAGCGUAAAAAGUGUUUCCGGACCUCCGUCGAUGUUUUAGGAUAGAUGAGAAUUUAUAGACUAGAGAACAGAGUCGGGAGAGCCGCGAGGGGGCCACAAGCCAUUAGGGCGCCCCCUGACCGCGCCCUGUUGGCUUGUGGGGCCCUCGUGCACCCUCGUGCCUCCUUUCGAUGCUCCACGGUCUUGUUUUAGUCCAGAAAAAAAUCACAAAAAGUUUUAGGUCAAUUGCACUUCACUUGGUACUAAACCGUAAAAAGUGGAAAACACGCAGAAAACAACAACUAGCACUUGGCACUGGGUCAAUAGGUUAGUGCUCAAAGAUAAUAUAAAUUGGUAGAUAAUUAGUUCAUAAAAAAUGUUCUAAAAUGAUAACAUAAUAGCAUGGAACAAUCAAACAUUAUAGAUACGCUGGAGACAUAUCAUUGUACCGCUCGCUAGGGUUUUCUGCAUGGUACUUGUGUGCACUGAUUGUACCGGUGCACGAAGAGGUUGUACUGCUGUAGUGUAAAAACCGUUGUAACAGUUGAAUUUGGGGGCACUAUAAAAGGGGAUGGUUCUUCCACCGACCUUCUUACCUCUUACCUCUCUCUUUCUCUCUCUUUCCUUCAUUAAUGCCCUCCAAGCUUUCUUGCUCGAUCUCUCUUCCACUCAUUAAUGCUAGCAUCAUCGUACAUUUGGAGUCGACACACUUUGCUAGAGGCCGCUACCGGCUAGCCGAGCUGGAUGUGAUCUGACUUGCAACCAAGUGAACGAGAACCUAAGGGGUCGUGCUCUUAAGAGAAGGAUUCUACGAGGUCAUAUACGAGGACACUGGUCGGAUGUGAUCUGAGCUGGACUUAGAUCAUGACCAAGUAGACUUUAGGCUUUAGGAUCCAUGUGAGGCCCAAAAUUGAGACCGCGACGGAUGCCUAUAUAUAAUGGGGGUACCACACACAUAUUCGGUCGAUUGCUUCAGCAUCGUCAUUAGGGCGUUGCAUGUGUUAGAACCACCCACCUCCACUCGCCGCCGGUUGUGUGAUCGGACCUAGCAGUCCGCCACAUGACGUUCCUCCUGCACGUGCGAAUACCGUUAGAGGUGGUGCAGUUGCGCAGCUCCAACGAAGUUGUCCACGGGAUUCAGCGGACGACUGUUUGAGAGACCGGACGAGGAGGGGGCAACUCCUGGGACGCGCUAGCACCACUAUUCGUCCACUACAUUGCGCUCUAGUGGUAACAAUCUGUGAUUCCUCUCCUUAGCAUGUUCCCGGUUAUACAGUGCAUAGGAAUUUUUUUUAUAUUCCAGCCGAUGCACCUAGCGUAGCCCAACACUAUCCCUCCGUCCCUCCCUUCCUUCCUCUCUCUCUCUCUCUCCCUCUCUCUCUCUCAAACACUUAAUACAUGCAUACUUACAUUAGUUUGAUCAUGUUCAUGUGAUUUAAGGUUAAUUGAAUUUGUGGCACUAUCAUAUGAACAAUGAUGGUGCCAAAUCCAUGGCCUAAAUAAGUUGCAUCCAAAUGUACACGGAAAAUAGUUAGAUAAAAAGUAUGAACACAUCGUAGAACAUAUUACAUCGAGAAUCGAUUAUGGUUCUAUACAUAAAAGAACAAAAAUCUCGUGGUGCAAACUAAACAUACGUUUAUAUUAAUUAAAUGUAUGCACAUUUCGUUCCUGCAAAAGAAAUUUGUCCUAUUCGGAAGAAAAGAAAACAAGUUUUGAAAAAUCAUGUAGCAAUUACUAGAAAGAUUACCAGAGUUGAGAUACACAACUAUGGACGUAGCCAUUUGAGAUUAUCCUGUCACUGUCCACGGACCCGCCCGCAGAUGUAUAUAUGUAGUGCUCCAUUUGGCAAUUGGAGUUGCAGAUGCUCUAACUUCCUUCUUUUUUGUGAACCAUGUGAUGAACAAGCUCUCUCGAAACAGGCUUUCGCCCCGCUUUAUAGAUAAAGCACAACGGCCAGAAUCCAACCCACAUGUUCGAACACAAAAAAUAAAAAAGAGAGUCAGGUGGGGCAACAACACAGUCCAGCCCAAAAUAAAGAGAAGAAACAAAAAAUUCCCACACAGGGGCAAGCUAGGCAGCAAGCAAGGGAGAGGAGAGCCGUCGGGCGGCCGCCAUCAACGCGUCCAGGUAGAGCUGAAGUCGGCCUCGAUCCCGGGUCCUAACGAGCGGAUGCCAAUGCUGCAAGAAGGCAAGGAAUUUGAAGAACGAGUCAGAAGCACGCCGCGGAAACACCUUCUCAAUCAUCAUUUUAUUGUGAGUAGUCUAGAGGGUCCACAUCAUAGCCGCGAAGACCAACCAAAACAGUCGGCGUUUAUGACCGACCUGGGUGGCCCGCACCUGUAGAAAAUCUGCAAGGUCAGAGGCCUCCCACUCUGGUCCCAGAGCCUCGCGUACAAAGCAUCAUAGUGCAUGUGCCGCAACGCAUGAGAACAGAAUGUGAGAGCCAUUCUCCGGGACAUGGCACAGGGGACAUAUGCCGUUACCCGGACCAUGGCGUUUCAGCACCUCGGUCCCUGAAGGUAAACGGUCUCGGAGAAGCUGCCAAACAAAAAUCUUGAUCUUCAAGGGCAGCGGGGCCUUCUAGAGUGGGGAUAACCACGGGAGGACCAGCAUUCUGCACAGGGCCAGGUAUGCCGAACUAACAGAGAAUUCUCCCGAGGGAGAGAGGCUCCAAGAGAUACUAUCACUGACCGCCGAGGUCGAGAGGGGAAUCACUGCCAAGAGUAACUCCCAGUCCAGGACCUCAACAGGGCCAAGGGGUCGGCAGAAUGCAACAUGCCAUCCGUCUUCCAGAGCAGCAGCAGAAACCAGGACAGCAGGGUCGGCGCAGAUAGCAAAGAGCCUCGGGAAACGGAAUCGUAAAAGCUCUCCUUCCAACCAGGGAUCUAACCAAAACUGGGUCCCAGAUCCAUCGCCCACCGAGAUCCCCAAACUCAACCUAAUCUCGUGCUUAAUGCUCUGGAUAGACUUCCAGAACUGCGAACCAUUCGCGAGAGAGCAUGCCAAGAGUGGUCUGCCUCGAAGGUAUUUGGCCUUAAUCAAUUGAAGCCACAGACCCCCAUCUCCGUGCAGAAUCCGCCAAACCCAACGGAGCAUCAGGGCCACGUUCAUGAGGCGGGACGCAGGAAUGCCUAGGCCCCCUCAGUCUUUUGGCAAGCAGAUGUCUGCCCAUUUCACCAUGUGAUACUUGGGCCUACCAUUCCCUGCCUGCCAAAAGAAUCUAGCCAGUUCCUUGUCAAAGGCGUUGUGCACACCUUCGGGCAGGAUAUACAACCCCAUCAUAUACAUGGGGAGGCUAGCGAGGUUAGAGCUAAUGAGGAUGGAUUUGCUGCCUUUAGAAGUGAACCUGCCGCACCAGGGUUCCACACGGGAUGCUACUCAUCCCACAAGCGGAUCGAACCCGCUAACCAGAAUCCUGGACUCCGCCAGGGGCAUUCCCAAGUACGAGAUAGGGAAAGAAGCCAGCUUGAAGUUAAGGUUGUCUGAAUCCUGUGAUGCUCAGCCUCAGAGUAGCCGAGGACCACCACCUCACUCUUAUCAAAGUUAAUCUUAAGUCCAGACAUUUCCUCGAAGCAGAGCAAAAGGAACUUAAGAUUGGCAAUGUCCGAGUCCGAGCCUGAGACCAUGAUCAUGGUGUCGUCUGCAUAUUGGAGGUGUGACACCCCACCCCCCGGGAUGAGGUGACCAACCACCCCCUGGAUAUGCCCGGCUAAUCUCGCCUUAUCCAGGAUGCCGGCAAGGGUGUCCACGGCGAGAUUAAACAGCAGGGGGGAGAUAGGGUCCCCUUGCUUUACCCCCCUGGAAGCCCAAAAAAAGGGGCCUAGUUCACCAUUGAUAUUGAUGGCGGUGCUACCAGAUCGAACCAGCUGCAUAAUCCAGGUGCACCACCUCUCGUCAAAUCCGCGCCGCUGCAACACUAACCUCAAGAAGGACCAACCAAGACGGUCAUACGCCUUAUGGAAGUCCAAUUUGAGAAUGACCCCCUUCAAUCCCUUGGACGCCACCUCAUGGACAAUCUCGUGAAGGGCAAGAAUUCCGUCAUGAAUCUUCCUACCCUUCAGGAAUGCGGACUGAAGGGGGUGCGCAAUCCGUUCGGCCACAGGGGACAGACGAGUGGCGCAGACUUUAGCAAAAAUACGCGCCACCAUGUUAAUCACCGUAAUAGGCCUAAAUUGCCGAAUCUCUGCAGCCCCAAGUAGUUUGGGGAUGAGGGCAAUGACUCCAUAGUUAAUCCUGCCCAUGUCCAGAGUGCCUAUAUAGAAUUCAUGGAACAUGGGCAUGAUAACUGGGUGCACGGUCUCCCAGAAUUGCUGGAAAAAACCACCGGGAGGCCGUCUGGCCCCGGGGUCGAGCACACCUUCAUAGAAGCGAUUGUCUGGCCAACUUCCUCCGAGGAAAAUGGGAGAGUGAGUUCCGCAUUCUCCACGUCGGACACCUGAUCAGCUAGCGGCCAGAAGUCCUCACAGAGAGAGGAGCCUCCCCGCAGAUCGGCCGAGAAUAACUCCUUAUAGAAGGAGUAAAUAUGGGAUGAGAUGUCUUCCGGCUUUCCAGAACAGCAUCCCCAUCCCGGAGGAAAGGGAUGACACAUUUCCGCCUUCGGCCGUUGGCGAUGGCCUGAAAGUACGCGGUGUUUGCGUCCCCCUUGAGGAGCCAGUUCUGGCCACCUCGACGUUGCCAGAACAGUUCCUCGGAGCUGAAGAUGCCCAUGAGCUCAGCGUCGAGGGAUUAUGUCUGGAUCCAGUCAUCCGGGGACAGACCUGUACCGUCCGCCAAGUCAUCUAGGGUCUUAAUCUGGCCUAGCAAGGCCCCUUUACGGGCCCGGAGAUCAGCGCCCAAGUUAGCACCCCAGCCCUUCAUGGCCUGGCGCGCCAUCUUGGCACAGUGAUGCCAAAUGUCCACCGCACAAUAGACACGCGGCGGGGAGGCGGCAGCCCAAUGCCACUGGUCGCGGACCAACUCGCGGAAACCAGGCUGAUCCAACCAAAAAGUCUCAAAGCGAAAGCGCCGUGAUCUAGGGGGGAGCCUUCCCCCGACGAGAAGAGCAGGGGCGUAUGGUCUGAGCCAAUCUGCGUGAUGGCCCUAAGCCCGCACAGGAGGAACAUCACUUCCCACUGAGGCGACACAAAGACCCGGUCUAGAACACUCCGGACGGGGUCCGCCUGCUUGUUCCACCACGUGAACCUGGCCCCUACGCGAGCUAUCUCACGUAGCGCCAAGUCUGCAAUGCAGUCAUUAAAAAGACGCAUCUGGGGUCGAUCUACAUUCUGAGAGCUUUUAUCAGAAGCCCACCUAAUAAAUUAAAAAUCACCAGCCACCACUACAGGGGUGGUGCACCUAUCCACCUUAUUCUUUAGCUCGGCGAGGAAUUCUGCGGAGCGGGCAUGGUCUGCCGGACCAUAGACAAUAAUCACCUCCCAGCUGAGGUGGGUACGUCGGUCGGUGAUGGCCAUGCUCACAAUGAACUCCCCCCGGUCCAUGUCCUCCACCGAGAACGCCUCCUCCCGAACACCAAGCAGGAUUCCCCCAGAGUGGCCCGAUGCAGGGAGCCACUGCCAGGAGAACUGGUGGCGGGAGAGCCUCUGAAGCUCGAGCAUGCUAAAGUCCUACCGAAUCGUUUCUUGCAGCCCUACUAUGUCAAUCUCUUCUUGACGCAAAUACUCAACAAGUUGCCGCCGCCGGCCAGGGAGGCCGAAGCCCCUAAUGUUCCAACAUAGGAGCUUCAUUUAACAAUCUCGCCUGGAUUUCUAGGCCCCGCAAGCGGGGCCGAACUAGCCCGCCCGUCAACCUCGAGGCGGGGGAGCGCCUUAGAUGGACGACCCCGGUGUCCCCGAGAAGAGGGGACAUCGGAGGUCGCCGGGCCAGAGGAGGGAGCUCCGGGGCCUGACACUCGCUCCUCUCCACGUGUCUCAGUGGGGUUGAGACGGGUAGGCGGCCGCCCCCUGGGCUUCCGGACAGAGGGAAGCCCACCUAUGGGCGGCACAGGACCAACUGCAACCGCUGCCGGAGGUGCGCCACCAGCCCUGGUCUCUCUAUGACCAGGACCGGCGUGCACCGGGGGAGAGGGGGAGUUGGAGCGCGCGGCGAGACAGCGCGCUUCCGCUAACACCCCCUCAAGCCUCUCUUUCGCACAGAGGGCGGAGAUAUGCUCAAGAGGGGGACCUUUCUCCCCCCGAAACACAAUACUACUGUUCGCAGCCACAACAGCCAAAAGGGGCACCAAAUCGCUAGAGAGAACAGAAAACCAAGAACCAGAGCCAGAAGGGGGAGGAGAGGAGGCGUACCUGGGAACAGAUCGCGGGCCGCAGCACGCCGGGCCGCCAGCUCAGGCAUCGUCGGGACGCGGCCGUCCUGAAGGGUCCGGGACUGGCUGAUCCGAGCGCUCUGACGUGCCGACACGAUGGGGGAAGUGCCCUCCCGAGGCCGAGAGCGGGGCACAGGAGGGUACUCGGGCGCCCAACCAGGGUUGACGACCACCGGAGGGCGCGAAUCCGGGGACCCCAAGGUUGGGGAAGGGGGGAACUCGGAGAGCACGAGUAGCAAACCACCCCUGGCGAGCGCGGGGACGAAGCAGGGCAGACCUCCAUACCCACACUCACCUCCUCCUCAGCAGCGACCACCGGGAUAGGGGAAGCAGGGAGAGUGAUCUCCAUGCCUACCACCACCACCGGCGCCAAAGUACCCACCGUGGAGCCUCCUGCGAGCCCCGACUGGCCAACACCCGAGGGGGCGGGGGUGCGCCGACCGCCAGAUGGCUCGGGCGGAGCCCCGACCGUAUCAUCGUCCCCCUCAGAAGAAGGCCCCUCCUCCGACGAGCCCCCCUCCUUGUCAAGACCCCCGUCGGCAGGCUCCAGCCCAGGCGGGACCGGAUCUAGCUGAGCCGCUGAAGCCGGGGACUCGAGCUCGAAGGUCAGACGCCUGCCCUUGGACCCAAAGUAGAAGACCAAAGACAACCCGUCAAUCUCAGCAGGAGCCGGGCAGAGAAUCUCAAUGCGGGCAGGGCCAUCAUCCUCGAAAGAUGCCAGGUCGGCGGUGAUCAGUUUGCCCAUGGGUUUAGAGAUGGCUUUCAGAAUAUGACUGAGCUUGCCACCCCGCGGAGCCGCACUGCCCCCCCUUGGGAGGCCAUAGACGAGGACCCAAACCUUCUCCAAGGGAGGGACGGGGUCAGGCUCUGACAUGGCCGCCUGGACGCUGAUCGGGAGCUGGUUGAGGGGACACCGGAUAGGACCAUGCGAGCAGACCCGGAGUAGCUCGGCCGAGGGGAAGGGGACCGAGAAGACCAGGGGAGCCGUCUCAGUCACCUCCCAUGCGAACUCAGAGCCGCGAAAGUCGCCAAUGUAGGCCGCAAGCUCAUCCUGGAUGAGGUCAGACGAGAUCACCAGGCCAUCCGGGAUAGGCUGCUCGGGCUCCAAGGUGACCGUCGCUAGGUGAGGACGAGCAGCUACCUCCUCAAUCUCCGCAUCCACGAAGUAGAAGCUUCCCCGCUCAGUGCCAUACCCAAGAUAGGCAAGAAUCGUGGGGCACCGUGGGGGAGCCUCACACUCCGAGCGGUAGUGCCCGGUGCACCCGCAGUUGAUGCACAUCGUGUCCUCGCGGGAGCGCUGGCGGGUAGCACGAGCAGGGGGUCUAGAGCCUCAUGCUCAGGAGCCCCCUGAGCUCCUGGCGACGUCAGGCCGCCAGCACCGCCAACAGCCUUCUUCUUCUUCGACUUCAUCUUCUUCUUAACCGGGGUCGGGCGGGAAGCGGAGCAGCAGGCAGGGCAUCUGGGGACACGUGCCUAGAAGGCCCGUCGUCCCGGCACCAGUCCGCACCCGUCGCCCGAGAGGAGCGCCAGUCAGCCCGACGUCCAUCAUCACCGCGCCGCAUUGGCGGCCCGCCCCACCGCUCCCCCGGGCGGUGGUCCUGGCGAUCACGGGGCGGCCCGCCCCACCGCUCCCCAGGAAGGCGCCGCGGGGCGGUGAGCGAGGUCCCGAGCCGGGGGGUAGCGGGGCGCUGGCUCCUCACACGGCUGAGAUGCCGGAGUGGGGCGAGCAACCAACUCUGCACACAGAGUCGCUUCCCGGUCCAGGUCGGCCGCGCGGGCGGCCUCCAGGCGGCGACGGUCCCCCGGCGAACCCGGCAACGGCAGGCGGGGAUCCCUCUCCGGAUCACGAGGGGGAGGCGGACGGCGAAGGGAGGUCCCGGAGUAGUACUCCGGGGACUUCCCCGGCCGGGCAGACCCACCGCGCCCGGAACGGGACGAGGCAGCACCCCCUUCCAUGGCACGGUCACGGGCGGCGGGCAGCGCCUUCAACACCGCGCGAGCCUGGUCACGAGAGGUUGGCGUAGGGAGGAGCCCCUGCCCAGCCGGGAGAGGCCGCUUCGGUCGGGCCUGGCCGUUCCCGGCGUGGCGUGUCAUGAGCACGUCCCGGUAGGAGCGCCGUGGGGAGGGGAUGGGGAGCAGGUCCGGGCGCCGGGCAGCAGACGAGGGCGCGUCGCCGGCAGUGCAGGCGAGGACGGACGAGGUGGAGGGAGCUCUAUGGCUGACGGGACGGGGCGAGCGGGGCCUGGGGAACGGCCGGCGGGACGGGGCGAGCAGGGCCUGGGGAACGGCGGGGACGUCCGCGCCCGACGGGAGAGAGCGAGAGGAAAGGGAGCGGGAGCCCGACCGGAGAGAGCGAGAGAAACGGGAGCGGGACGGGGCGAGGCUGCGAGGUGGCGGUGGCGCACGCUCGGCAGGGUAAACCCUAUCCCCGAGCCGGUCCUCCCGACGCAGGCCUGGGCCGGGACGCGAGCAUGGGGGAGGCCCAGGUGGGCAUCGGCCCACUGCCGGUUAACCUUCUCCAGGACUCGGGAGACGCGGCGGGAGGCCCAGGCCAUCUCGCUAGCUGAGAUGGGCCCAGGCCCCGUUCGCAGCGGCCCAUGGGGAGAGCCGGCCCAUCCGUCCGCCAGCCGGCCAGGGGAGUUAGGGCAUGGGGGAGGGGACUGACGAGGCACUCGGGCACCUCCCGCUGCCGCCGGCACCGCCGCCGCCGCCACAGGAGGCAGGGCACCAGCGCCUGGUCGGGGCUCGCGGGGGCCCUCUCCGGCGACCGCCAUGGGGGACAACCCAGGCAGCAAACCGGCUCGGGCCAAGGAGGGGAGAGGGGGAACCACAGGGGGACAGUGCACCGGCGACCGCCGCCCGACCUCCUUCCCCGGCCGCCGGCGGGCAGGGCGCGCCGCAGCCAGGAACGAGCCGAGCAGCGGCGGUGCCAGGGACACCGGCAGCUCCAACCGGUCAUCACCAUCCGAAGAGGCCUCCAUGUCAUCGGGGUCGGGAUCGUCCGUCCAGUCCGCCCAACGUCGCGGCGACCGUUGGAAGCAGAGGGAGGGCGCCCCCGGCGGGGGAAGCGGGGGCAUCGCGCUCACGCAGCACGCCGGCCGACCGCCGUCAGCGGGCACCGCGCAGCUUCAGGUCUCGGCCCGCCGGAGAGGAGCCGCCCAUCGCUUCUUCUCUUCAGGAAUCUAGUCGCCGGCCCACAAGUGGGGUGAUGAACAAGCUAAUGCGAUUUAAAGUAAUCAUACCUCGUCCUAAGAAAUUAAAAGUGAAUUCAUACUGUGCAGCUAGAAAAAGAAUCAUAAAAGUAUACAAGCGCAUGUGAAAAGAAAAAGAUGAACAACUUGCCACUUCAUAUAGGUGAUCUAAUUAACUAAUUUAGGGUUCGAAUAACUUUGUUUCCCCACAAUCAUGACAAAGUGAACCUUUUGUUGAAAGCCGGAAUUCUGCAAUAAAGCUGCAAUGGUAGAUCUAUUUUUAUCAGGGAAUCUACCAUGCUGAGCUGCUGCACACAAGGCGUUCUCACUCACGAGUCGCAAAAAAGAGUUGGUGAGUUAUUAAAAAAGAAGACAAAGAGGACGAGUGAGUUGCACCAAAAUUAAAUACUUCCUUCAUUUCAAAAUAAAUGUCUCAAUUUUAUACUACCUCUAGUAUAAGAGCAUGGUUAAUAGUAUAGUCAACUGCUGGCUAUAAGCUAUCUUAUAGCCUAUCUUAUAGCUAGCUUGUACAAUAGUUAGCUAUAAAAGAGUACUACUUUUAUUCUAUAUGGCCCACCUUUCAUUUUCACAAAGCACCUACGAGCACGUGCUAGAGCUGGCUCUUUACGAAGAGCCCGCUUCCCUUCUCACUCCUAUUCUCUCUCAUCCAACUCAGCAAAAAUACAGUAUUUUAAUCCUUACAGCCUGCUGACUGUACCUUAUUGUACUUGCUCUAAAGUUGUACUCCCUCCGUUCCAAAAUAUAAGACCUUUUAGAGAUUUAUUAGAAGACUACAUACGAAGCAAAAUGAGUGAAUCUAUACUCUAAAAUAUGUCUAUGUACAUCCGUAUGUAGUUCAUAGUGCAAUCUUUAAAAUGUCUUAUAUUUAGGAACGGAGGGAGUAUUAAGUUUGAGGCGGUUAUAUUGAGACGGAGAGAGUACUAGAUAUACGUAAUCUGAAAUAGUGGAGUACCAAAAUUAUAGGCCUCUAUGAUUAGGAGGAUUUUCAUAAAACAUUUGGAAAGUUGUGAUACUUGAGAAUUUUUCCUUUAUCGCUUAUCUGAUUCGUAGAUUGACUCCUAUAGGAUUUUCUCCUAUGGAUUCCCUUUGACUGCACAUUUCAUGAAAAAAAACAUUAGUUUGCCAUGAUAAUUUUUCACCAGGAUGCACAAAAAAUGAACUAGUUCUGAAAGGUUUAUUGGCUUCAUUUGGAUUUACUUAGAAUCAGCUCAUAUUAGCAAUAAUUAAAGAUGGCCGAACGAUGGCGCCGUCUCCCUCCCGACCCGGGGCCGCAUGCAGCCCCUCUCCCUCUGCCCCCCUCCUCCUGUCGGUGCCCUCGGAUCUGGUCCGGGUGGUGUUGGCGGUGGCGGGAUCUCCAUUACCUGUGCGCGGACGUCCUUCCCGAGGCAGGGGAUCGACGGUGGUGCGGCUCGGCCUGCUGUGGUCCGACGACCUAGAGGUGGUGGCCGGCAGCCGACGUGGUGGUGGCGCUGCUCCUUGGCGGCGGGGUGGCCUAGCGGCACGGGGUGGCCGGCUGCACGACCCCGGGCCAGAUCAGGGCCCAUAAGGCCUCAUCUAGGUCCUAGGGGACUGGCUCUGGCAUGGACUUGCUGCCUCCUGUACAGGGAUGAGGAGGGGCGGGUUGAAAGGGGGGCCGCGAUGCCGACGGUGUGCUUUCUGCAGCGCGAUGGCAGGAGCUUUAUGGGUAUUUGUGGGGCCAUGAGCCUGGUUUGCUCCUGCCGAUGUGUCCGGUCGGUUACUGUCGUUGACGAUGGAAGUCGGACCCUCCCGCAGGCCGCCGGUGUUGCUUCCCCUAGUCCCGACUCUUCUUCUUCGAUGUGCAGGCCUCACUUCUCGGUGUCCUGGUGAGACAGUGUGGGUCGCUUCAAGAUUGUGCUUGCGCAGGGCGGUGGGUGGUAUGGUGGAGUCCUCCGGAACGCCCGUGGUGAUGCGUGGGGAUCGGGACGUACAAAUCCUUGUCGGCCUGUUCGACACCGACACGGUGACGCCUGAGGGUGUCGACGGACCUUCCUGGAGGGUGUCGGGUGCUACCCUUUCUUUGUCCUCGUUGUGUAUCGGGGGAAACCCUUGGCAGCAGCGCAGUCAUCGUCGUGUCCCUUCUUGGAGGUGUUGAUUGGUAUCGGCGCUUCGAAGGCUAGGAUCUUGGUGGAAGAUCUUCGAUGGGCGCAACGAUCGCGGGGCCUCUUCAUUUUUGUCGAUCCAUCAUUGUUGGCAUCUAUUCCUUUUGCAUUUUCUUUUUCCCUUCCUUUUGGACGUGAUUGUGAUGUCUCCGUCCCAGCACUUAUUGAUGGAUAUAUCGGGCAUUUGCUAUAUUAAUAUAGCGAGGCGAACGCGUGCUUCGAAGAAAGAUGGACGAACUUACCAACCAUAUUACUUGUGCUUAUUUAUUUUCUUCUGUUACAACGCACAAACAUAUUUGCUAUUUGAACUAAAUCACAUUGCCAAUUGCUCGUCUAUCAUGUCAAAUCAGAACCACGCAUCUAACCCUCCCAAGAUGUAGAUCGAUCGGUUUUACUCGGCAUUCAUUAUGGAUCGGAGGGAGUACUCCUAGAUCAUAUUCAAAAUUGCUCCACGCCACAAAUAAAACUGCACGGUACAUAUGGUAAAUCUGGGAAAGUGAUUUGCGUGGUAUGUGUGCCAUAAUCAACUGAAUUAUUGGACUAACCGCAUCAAGAUCGGAUCACAUCGAUCCUAUCCCCGUCGACGAGACUGUCCUCGAAUCAAAAUAUUUCUCCAAUGGACGCUCGUGUCCCACGCUCUGAAAGCGACGCCUUUUGUUUUGUCAGUUAAUUUUCACGUCAAGCUCACACCCACGCACGCACCGUGUAGGAUCCACGGCUCGACGCACCUCCCCUUCCCUCCCCUUCUCCCUAUUUAACGAGCUAGCCACCCCCACGCUUUUUGCACCUCAGCAAGCACCAACACACACACACACACAAGAAAUGGCGAUGGCUAGGACGACGACGCUCCUCCUCGUCGCCGCAGCUCUCCUCGCGGCCUCAUGCAGCGCAUGGGAGGUCAACAUCCGCAUGCCGACGUCGGCGGCGGACGUGGACGAGGCGGUGGUGGCGCCGCUGAUCCACGCGCUGCGGCCGCUGCUGGGCUCCGGCAAGCACGCCGGAGUGGCGUGCGACAGCUGGGUGCUGGGGGUGGAGGCGCACAACGUGCGGGACUGGAAGACGGUGCCCGCGAGCUGCGAGGGCUACGUCGGGCACUACAUGCUCGGCAGCCAUUUCCGCCGCGACUCCAAGGUCGUCAUCGACCAGGCCCUCGCCUACGUCGACUCCCUCAAGCUCGCCGGCAACGGCAAGGAGGUCUGGGUCUUCGACAUCGACGAGACCACCCUCUCCAACCUCCCCUACUACGCCAAGCACGGCUUCGGGUACGUACUUACACUCUUGUAUACAUUACAUAGACACUACUGAUUCUACGUGUAGUGCAUGCAUUAGACUUGCUAUUUACUGCAGGUACAUCCGACCGAGCAGGGACUUGCACUCAUCUUUUCACUAAGAUGAAGUGUAAAUAAUCUGACUAGAUAUAUAUUGUAAAAAAUCAACUCACUAGCUAGCUAAAAAAUACCAGCGAGAUCUGUAAUGAAUGAAAAUUGGAAAGCACAUAAGGAUAGAAAUAUUGGAAAUAAAAAGGAAUAUAAUCACUAAGUAGAAAAGUACUUUAAUCACAAGUGUUGGACACUUGGACAUCAUCAUUGCCAGUAGGACUCGGGCCAUAUGUCCCUAGUAUGAAUGGCCAACAAAACAAGAAGGAAACAUACUAUAUUUUGAGAUAGAGAUGUGAUGUUGAUGGGCAUGCGAAUGUGGUGGCCGGGUAGGACCGUAUAUGUUGUCCACUUGGCUACUUUAUGGAAAUGUUCUAAUUAUGUUAUGCUAGUCAACUCAUACUUUCUAAUUAUGUCAUACUUUUGUACACAUACACACUAUUGUAGUGCAUUAUACUCCCUCUCUAUCUAAAUACUUAGAGUUCGAAAGAACUAGGUGCAUUUCAGCAGGGGCUUGCACUGAUCUAUUCGUUCAGAUAAAAUAAAUAUCUUACUAGACCUCGUUCAAAUGAACUCACUAGCUAGAAAGCACUAGUAUCAUAAGAUUUCUAAUGAAUGAAAGUGGGAAAACAAAUGAGACUAGAAGUGGAAACAAGGAAUAUACUCACUAGCUAGAAAAGUAUUAAUUGGACGUGUUGGACACACUUAGGCAGCAUCAUUGCUGGUUACCUCAAAUCAGUCACAGAGACGGCCAUCAGGACCAUAAAUAUGUCCCGCCUAUGAAUGGUCAACAAAACAAGAAGGAAACAUAGUACUAUAGUUUGAGAAUAUGGUGGCCGGGGUAGGACCGUAUAUGUUCUCCACUUGGCUACUUUAUGGAAACGUUUAUUUCCAGCUGUCCUUAUCAGCCGAUACGUUCUAAUUAUGUUAUGCUAAUCGAUUGAUAUUUUCUGAUUAUGUUAUGCUAAACUUAGUUCAGAUGGAUAGUACUCCGAUACGUUUUCAUUAUUUUAUGCUAAUCUGAGUUUAGAUGGAUAUAAUUACUUAUUUUAGAAGAUGUGAGAGGUCAGAACAUCUUGUGCAUAGUUAGUAGUUACAUGCUACUCCCUCCGUUCCUAAAUACAAAUCUUUUAAAAGAUUUCACUAGUGGUCUACAUAUGAAGCAAAAUGAAUGAAUUUAUACUAUAAAAUAUGUUUAUAUACAUUCAUAUGUAUUACUCUAACCUCUAAAAAGAUUUAUAUUUAAGAAUGGAUGGAGUACAACUCUAUUCCUCUUUUCUCAAAUAGUUGAACACUAUUCCUCUUAGUUAAGAAGAUUCUCUUGAACCAAGAUGGAAACUAACUUGAAAUGUAGUAGAAGUCUAGGUGAUAUCUAGCCAACAUGAUGAUACCAGUUUAGUUCAAAACAUGAUUAACUAGCUCCGGAUAGCUUGCUUGUGUAUAUUUUGAAUGUGAUGAGGGAGCUAGUUCGUUGUGAUUUAAAAUAAACUGUACCUUGCCGUAAGAACUUUAAAGUGGAUCUACACUGGGCGGCUGGAAAAAGAUACAUAAAAGUAUAUAUAUGCGCAUCAAGGAAAAAAGAAAGAUCAAAAGCUUAUAACAGCAUGUCUAACUAAUCGAGCGGUUCAAAUAACUUUGUUUCAUCACAAUCAUGACAAAAUUAACCUUUUUUGUUGAAAGUCGGAACUCUGCAAUAAGGUUGCAAUGGUAGACCUAUUUUACCAAAGGAAUCAACAAAGCUGAGCUGCUGCGUACAAAGCUGUGCACGAUGAGAUUAAAUACUACAACUGCGUUUUCGGUCCAACAAAACAGUAGCGUGAUGAUGCCGGAGUGAACCUCGCUAUGUCACAUUCAUUGAUUUACUCCACUUGACCAACUUAAUUUACGACGUCCACAACUACGUACUGCUCAUGCACGUGCGUUACGUACAGAUACAGAGCAUCAUUGCGUUUACGUAUUGCCCAUCCCCUUGGCCAUUUGGCCACUUGGGCCAUAAUCUAGGUUGCCUAUGUUCCUUGGAUAUGCAUAAUUACUACUACUUCUUAGUAGCUGAUAUGAUUGAAUCUGCCAUUAAUCUAUCCUCGUAUACAUGUGCGUGCAGGGCUACACCGUUCAACGCGACCAGCUUCAACGCAUACGUGCUACAGGGGAGCGCGCCAGCCCUGCCGGAGACGAAGCGGCUGUACAACAAGCUGCGCUCGAUCGGCGUCAAGCCGGUGUUCCUCACCGGCCGGACUGAGGACCAGAGGGCCAUCACCGUCACCAACCUCCGCCGCCAGGGGAUCUCUGGGUGGAUGAACCUCUUGCUGAAGCAACCCGGGUUCAAGGGCUCUGCGGUGACCUACAAGUCCGGCGAGAGGCAGAAGCUGCAGGACGCCGGGUAUGUCAUCGUCGGUAACAUCGGCGACCAGUGGAGCGACAUCCUCGGCGCGCCAGAGGGUGCCCGCACCUUCAAGCUGCCCGACCCCAUGUACUACAUCGGCUAGGCCGCCUCUGGCUCGGCCGGGCAUGCUGCCAUUGAUUUCUCGAAUAAGCUCCAUGCUCUUAGUUAUAUGCAUGUUUCGUCAGAUAAUCAAUCCCCAAUUGUUGCUUGGUUCAUUUCCAUUGUUGAGAGCUUGAGAUCAAUUGCUACUAUGAAUUAGACGUGUAAGUGGAGAUGUUGCAUGCUGCUUAAUCAAUGGAUCUUUGUUAUGUUGUUUUUCUUUUUGCUCUAUUACAAGGAAUCCAUGGGCAUUAUUACUAUUUGAUAUCUUGUUCUUAAGUCUUAACUUGGAACUUAUAUUGCUGGUGGUAGAUUUUUCUGUACUAAAUUCUGCAUAUGGUGUAUUAAAUAUCAGGGACACAUAAUAUUGUCACACAUAUGGAAUCACUACUGCUAAAAUGACCAGUUCCUGAACCCAUCUGCUAUUGGGCCCAUUUUGGCCCGUCGGAGGAAGGGAUCAUCGUCGGUGGACAGGCAAAGAAGUGCUCGCAUAGACUCCUUCAAAAAAUGUGCCCUCAUAGACGACGGGUAUUUUCCACUGAUGUUGCGCAACUGGUGAUUGCAAUGUAGUUUGUGUCUUGCAUGUUGUAUGCAUAUGUAAUGAAUGUAACAUCUAAUAGUUAAUUAUGCAAGACAAAUAAAGCCCACCCUUUUCAGUAAGUUUAGAGCUAGAUUUGAGUUUGUCUUGGUCUCAUUUUUCUAAACAUACAAUCCUGGAGACAACUCGGUGAAGAAAUGAUGGUCCAAAUAGGUGUCUAACACGAAUCGUCAUCAAAGAAACCCUAUGGGAACCCACACUAUUCUAGUUACUUGGAUGAUUUGUAAUGAAAGAAAUAUAUGUGUCUUCCAAGUUAUUUUGACCAUGCCAAACAACAUCCCUGCUAAGAUAAAAAACGAUGUGGAGACUUGGAUAAAGGCCGGGCGAAGGAUCUGGGAAACAUUAUGCCAGGAGAGUAGUUCCGUUCUAUUAAUUUAUCCUUGGAUGACGUUUCGCGGAGAGAGGGGAGAGGGCGACCUGGGCGAUCUGGGAGCGUCGGGGGCCGCCGUGGGCAUCGUCGGAGAGGGGGAACAUCGGUACUCCUCCUCCGAUCUCGCAUCCCAGGCGCGGCGCCGGAGCCCGAUCUCGGCGGUGGAGGGACCUACUGUCCGUGUCCGAUGGAGAGUUGCGUACUCAGAGGCUGGUUAUUCGGAUCUGCGUGAGGGGCAGAUUGUUUUUCAUUCGGUUUCUCGUUGGAUGACACUACGGGAUGACGACGACGACAUCCUCGCCGGCUGCCAUCUCCAAGAGGAAGAUCUCAUCUGCGAAGGUGCGCAUUUCAUGGUGGAUAUCUUUUCUGUUACUUGUAUUUCUCCUUUCCUGCAGGUGAAUUCACAAGAACGGAUGCAGCCUGAUUUGGUGGACAUAUCUGACGAUGAUAAGAUCGCCUCACCAAGACUUCUCCCUCGAGUUGGGGGGAGGUUUUGGGUACUGGCUAAAGAUGAAGACGACGAGAACCACGACAUUGCCGUAGCACAGGAGGUCUCUGCUCCUUUCUGCGACCAGGUUUUCCAUCCGGCCACGAGGGAUUUUAUUCAUGCAUUGCCUGAUUCGAAGGUCGUUAAGGUAGUUCAACGCAAGGAGCGAUUGGCGAUUAAACCUUGGAGCGGUCCUCUGCCUAAGGUUCAUCUCGAACCAUUGCGGAUCUCGGACAUCAUACCUUGAGAGGCUUGGACUACUGUUUUGCCUAAGAGGAAGAACAAGGGUAAGAGCCGUAAAUUGCAGACGUCAGUCCCUGACAAGGUGCUGUCGUCCCGUGAUUCUCGCGAAUUACGUUUGAACGAGCCGAUGGCUGUUGUCGGGCCGUUGGGACCGGCGCUCGAGUUGGGCUUAAAAGAAACUGGGUAUAUGGCCCAGAUAGACUCCAAUCUAGCAAAACCUGCAAGUCCUACACCUACGGCUGCCCAGAUUUGCCUUGACGAGAAUCAUCAGGACUUGGUUUCUACGUCAAGUUUGCAUAUACCGAGUUCGGCUCUGCCUAGGGUUCCACGACGGCGUUUGCCUGGCUUCCCUUCGCUCGGGCCGGGUCGUGCAGUACGGGUUCCAGCGCUGCGGUGCAUGGCGGGGCGGGGAAACAAGCAGGCGCUGCCUCCCCCUCGACCACCGGCGGUUUCCCAGGCUGUGGGGCGGACUAGGCAGCAGCCCGUGAUGCCGCCAGGGCGCCAGACGGGCCAGGCUUCGGCUGCACCGGUUCCCGCUGCUGGUCAGGGUUUGCCCAACGCGGCUCGGGCGGAUACUAACAGGAUGCAGCCGAGAGGUCGAUGGGGGGAUGAUGGUGUUAAUGCAUAUGGUGAUGGACAGCACCGUGGAUCCUCUUCGUCUGGAGGAGGACGUGGCUAUGCCUGGCAGAGCAAUGGCAGCGCUGCUAAUGGGUUCGCCGGUCCUCCGGGACAGUUUGUGCCCCGGGUCUCGGGUCCUACUCACCCUAGGGAGGUGGAUAUAAGCAACAUUGGGGAGGGAGAGGUGGUGGCAGGAGAUUGAAGCCGCCCACGCCUCCAGUAGAGGUAGAUGCUGCCAAGACAACGGCGGGAGUACCUUCCAAUGCUCCUAAGGGGAAUACACUGCUGCCACCUGUUUCCGAGGAGGAUCCUUCCUUGGCUGACAAGGGAGUAUCGCUUGCGAAGGCAGAGGGGGGGGGAUAGGCCCUCCAAGUGGGCACGCAAAAAAGAAAAGAUGACAUGCUACCGUUGCAGUGAGACGGGUCAUUUUGUUUCCGAAUGCAGCGCGGAUCUGUGUGACUUUUGCUUAAAGCCUAAGCAUGGCUCAGCUAAGUGCCCCCUUACUGUUGGUCCUAUACAUGUCGUCACUUUAUAUGGGGUUUGCUGCCAAGAGUUGAUGUUCUUUGAAUCUCCCUCUGCUUCAACGUCGUUGCAUGUGCCAGACGCGGCCUAUACGGGGACGGUUACGGUGGCUCGUGGUAAUAUGUCAGCUGAGCAGGUGGUGCAACAGUUGAGGGAUCUUGUUUCAUCAAUGUUUCGGUGGGAACUGGUCCUUAUAGCAGAUAAUGUGUUCAAGGUUGUGUUCCCUACCAAGGAGGACCUAGCUAGACUGCUCAAGUUUGGUAUGUGUCGGGUUCCUAGUACUAGUUGUGUGCUAGAGUUCGAUGCUUGGAAGAAUGAGGAGCCAUAAGGUGUGCCACUUCCUCAGAUUUGGGUUCGUUUUUCAGGGGCCCCGUCAAAGGCUCUAAAUGACUUUCUGGUGACUUGGAGUUUGGGAUCUUUGAUAGGUAAGACUGAGAGGGUGGAUAUGCAAUAUACUCGGGCUAAAGGUGUUGCCAGGAUGAGGGUUAGUGUAAUUGAUAUUGCGCUAGUACCGGAUGAAGUUAUAUGGACUUAUGAUGGAAUGCGGUACACCUUGCAACUCGAGAUCGAGAGUCCGGAUAUGUUCGAGGAGGAUGGGACAGACAAAGAUACCGAUAUGGCUGACGGAGAUGAUGCUUCGGGUUCUAGGGAAUCUGAUAAGAAGGAUCAACAGCCAGUUAUUACAAAGAUGGUGGAUCAACCUACCUCAGGUUCUGCUACAGGGGCUGCUCAACCAGUGUCUCUUCCCUCGACGCAGCUUAGGUUCGGUUCCUUUGAACCAGCCUCGGCGCCAGAGAUUCGAGGGAGGGCUUCAGAGAAGUAUGAGCGGGAUCUGGUUCAUCUUAAGCCGCAAGGAAAGCAAGCAAAGUCAGGGUCAUUCAGUAUUAAAAAUCCUAAGGAAGCUUUGACCGUAGUUUCUCUUGGGGAAUAUUUUGUUGUCGCUAGGAAUGCUGAUACGGGCCGGUCUCAGCAACGUGAUGCAGUGCAGCCAGCAAGGCAUAUGUUGUCCGGGUUGGGUACUGUGCCGAGGGGUGCGCCGCCUGGGUCGCCUAGGCAGGGUUCGCUGCUGCUGUAGAGUCCAUCGCCAGCCACCCAGGGGGUUGCUGUUUCUCGGCCAGCCACCCCUGGGGCUGCUACCUUUUUGCCAGCCACACCGAGGGCAAUUACAGCGACUCCUCCUCCUGGCCUACUUCCGUCGUUGGAUGCUGCUGCGAGAUCCACCCCUGCUGCUGGUUUCAUGUCAGCCGAGAGAUCAACCCCUGUUGCUGCGGUUCCUAUCGCUACUAUGGCUGCAACCGGGGCAUCAUCUUUGCGGGUGUCAGGGCUGGAGGGUACUGGUCAGGGGCACCAUGGCGAGGUCGUUGCACCGCCGUCUGUUGAGCAGGUCAUAGCAUACGGAGGUAUUCAAAGUCCGCUGACUUCGGACAGGAGGUCCAGUCGGCGAAUUCAGAAUCAACCUGAUGCGGAUUAUUUACAGAUGGGACGUGCUAUGCGUGCGGCUAAAAUGAGAGAUGUCGAAACUGAGACAGGUAUGUCUUUCAGCAUUAACGAUUCUAUUCUUCAUUUUUCUCCUCAAGAUAUUCUAGAUAAGGCAGGUUCUAUUGGGGUUACAUUGGGGAACAAUGGCCGAGAAAUUUCGAAAUCUAUUAAUGAUCUAUUAGACUUAGAGGUCGAUAGAGCGUUAGACUUAGUACGAAAUUUAGCGGCAGUUAAACCAAUGCAAGAGUCUGAAGUUAACGAUCUAGGGGGACUGAAUUCUCUUUGUGAUAGUCUGGCCCCGUCAGUGGAUAUAGAGGAUGGUGCGGGCGAGGUUUUAGUUGGUCAAGGGAUGUGUGCCCAAUCUCAUAAGGCUGAGCCUCAAUUCUCUGGUUAUAUGGACCAGGAGUUGCUGGAAAAGCCGAAGCGUCCAUGGAGACGGAAAGUGUAUCCGGUCUCUGCGAUACGUAGAAGUGCUAGAUUUAAGAUUGCCAAAAAAAAUUAUGAUGAUUAAUGAGAGGAAUUUUUUGGAAUAGCAGAGGUCUUUGAGACUUGGCUAAAAGAAGAUUUCUAGCAGAGGCUACUUUAGAGCAUCACCUUGAUUUUAUCGCAGUGAUGGAGACAGGGAGGGAUAACUUUACGUCUCAUUUUUUAAGUUCUCUAUCAGCUGGGGUGGAUUUUGACUGGCACUGUCUCCCUCCAAGAGGAAGGUCCGGUGGGAUCUUACUUGGGGUCCGUUGUGACACUUUUCAAGUGCGGGAGGUGGUGUUUGGGGAGUUUGCAGUCAAAUUCAAGAUUAGAUCUAAGGAUGACGGGUUCCAAUGGGCUCUCGUUGCCGUCUAUGGCGUAGCACAGCCAGAUCUAAAGCCUGAUUUCCUAGCAGAUCUGGUCAGGAUUUGUGAUGACAAACUACCAUUGCUGGUAGGUGGAGAUUUUAAUAUUAUUAGGCGGGCUGAUGAAAAAAGUAGUGUUAAUUUUGAUGGAAGAUGGCCUUUCAUGUUUAACACAAUUAUUGAGAGCUUAGAUAUGAGGGAGACCGCUCUAUCAGGUAGGAAAUAUACCUGGGUGAAUGCUCUACAGAAUCAGACAUUUGAAAAGUUGGAUCGUGUCUUAACUAGUGUAGAGUGGGAGCAGAAGUUCCCUCUAGUAACUGUUAGAGAACUUCAACGCGCAAUCUCGGAUCAUACUCCUCUGUUGCUGGAUUCCGGUGAGGCUAGCCAUAUAGGAAACAAACAUGGAUUCUCUUUUGAAUCAAGUUGGUUCACAAGGGAGGGGUUCAUGGAUAUGGUCGAGAGGGAAUGGAAUACAGAGGUCAGGGGCGAAACCUCUAUAGAAAGAUGGCAGUAUAAGAUUAGACAUCUUAGACAGUAUUUGAGGGGCUGGUCUAAGAAUGUGUGUGGAAUAUAUAAAGAAGAGCAAGAUAAGCUCCUCAAACUUAUAGACAAUCUAGAUCGGAAGGCUGAGAGUUGUCUUCUGGAUGCUAACGAAAGGGAUCUCAAAUUCGAGGCCGGACAGCGCUUGCGUAUUCUCCUAAGAGAGGAGGAAAUGAAAUGGGCGCUUGAGCCAAAGUGAAGGCCAUAGUUCUUGGAGACAAUAACACUAAAUUUUUCCACUUGAUUGCAAAUGGCAAGCAUAGGAAAAAGAAAAUAGUGCAGCUUGAGCAAGAUGAGGGUACAAUACUAGGUCAUGAGAAUCUAAAAUUGUACAUCUCUAACUACUACAAACAUUUAUUUGGUGCUCCUGAGCAUAGCUUUGUGACUAUGGAUGAGCAAAAAGUGGCGGAUAUUCCUCAAGUUGGAGAGGCUGACAAUGAGAUUUUAUCCGCUCCUUUCUCAGAGAAAGAGGUGUUUGACGCGAUAGGGAAUAUGAAGAAUGGAAAAGCUCCCGGUCCAGAUGGGUUUCCGGCGGAGUUUUACAAGCACUGUUGGCAUAUUAUUAAGAAUGAUCUUAUGUCAAUGUUUGCUGAUCUUUUUAGUGGUCACCUUCAACUCUUCCAUUUGAAUUUUGGUACUAUUACACUCUUACCAAAGAAGGAAGGGGCCACGCGGAUUGAACAGUUUCGUCCGAUCUGUUUGUUGAAUGUUAGCUUCAAGAUUUUCACAAAGGUGGGAACAGAUAGGUUGACUAAGAUGGCCCAUUCGGUGGUACAAUCUACGCAAACAGCUUUUAUGCCAGGACGGAAUAUCCUUGAAGGAGUCGUUGUCUUGCAUGAAACUCUUCAUGAAAUGCACUCGAAGAAACUAGAUGGGGUUAUCUUUAAAGUGGAUUUCGAAAAAGCUUACGAUAAAGUCAAAUGGUCGUUUCUCCAGCAAACCCUACGUAUGAAGGGUUUCGAUGAGCUGUGGCGUAGGCACGUCGAUUGUUUUAUAAAGAAGGGAAGUGUGGGUGUCAAAGUGAAUGAUGAUGUGGGUCAUUUUUUCCAGACACUAAAGGGUCUCCGCCAAGGAGAUCCAAUGUCUCCCAUUUUAUUUAACAUUGUUGCUGAUAUGUUGGCACUGCUGAUUAAGCGGGCCAAUGAGAAGGACCUUGUAAGGGGCUUGAUCCCUCAUCUUGUUGAGGGGGGGAGUCUCCAUUUUACAAUAUGUGGAUGACACGAUUCUUUUUUUGGAGCAUGAUCUCAGUAAAGCCAGGAACCUCAAACUUAUCCUAUGCUUAUUUGAACAGCUAUUAGGGCUGAAGAUAAAUUUUCAUAAAAGUGAAUUGUUUUGCUUUGGAAAGGCCAAGGAUGAGCAGCUCACGUAUAAUCAAUUGUUUGGUUGUGCUAGCGGGAGUUUACCUUUUACUUAUUUAGGGAUCCCAAUUCAUCACAGAAAAUUAUCAAAUAAGGAUUGGAAAUGUAUCGAGGACCGUUUCGAAAAAAGUUGAGCUGUUGGAAGGGCGAGCUCUUAUCGUAUGGAGGAAGGUUGAUACUGGUUAAUUCAGUAUUAACAAGUAUGCCUAUGUUUCUCCUAUCCUUCUUUGAAGUACCUGUUGGGGUACGGAAAAGGUUGGAUUUCAAUCGAUCACGGUUUUUCUGGCAAAGUGAUGAGAUCAAGACUAAAUACAGACUCUCGAGAUGGGACAUCAUGUGUAGACCUAAGGAUCAAGGAGGUUUAGGGAUUGAAAAUUUAGAGAUUAAAAAUAAAUGUCUACUCAAUAAAUGGCUGUCUAGAUUAUCUAUGGAGACAAAGGGGUUGUGGGUACAAAUUCUGACGAAUAAAUACCUACAAAACAAGACUUUGGCGCAGGUUACAUUGAGACCAACUGAUUCACCGUUCUGGAAGGGGGUCAUGCGGUCUAAGAAUGCUUUUUUUCUCAGGUCUAAGUUUGUUAUUGGCAAUGGCCAAUCUACUAGAUUUUGGGAGGAUACUUGGUUGGGGGAGACGCCUUUAGCCAUGCAGUAUCCGCAACUCUACCAUAUUACACAAAGGCGUCAGGCGACUGUUGCGUCAAUUUUGCGCCAGGUUCCUCUAAAUAUUCAGUUAUGUAGAGCCUUAAUAGGUAACACAUGGUCAAGCUGGCUGCAUCUAGUGAGAAGGUUGUUGGAUAUUACCCUUACUGAGAACCCUGAUAGUGUUCGUUGGAAGUUGACCACUGAUGGAGUUUUCUCGGUAAAAUCUAUGUAUUUAGAUCUCAUAGAUUCUGUGUCCAUCCCGAAGUCCUUACAUAUUUGGAAGGUCAAAGUUCCACUUAGAAUUAAGAUCUUCAUGUGGUUUGUUCGCAAGGGGGUUAUUCUAACUAAGGAUAAUUUGGUCAAACGUAAAUGAAAAGGUAAUACUAGAUGCAGUUUUUGUGAGAACGAUGAAACAAUUAAACACCUCUUUCUGGACUGUCCUAUGGCUAAACUUCUAUGGCGAACACUUCUUAUUACUUUCAACAUUAAGCCACCCAAUAGUUUAAACACGUCAUUUGGGACGUGGUUAAGAGGGGUCGAUGAUAUAACUGCUAGCCUGAUCCGAGUAGGAUCAUGUGCACUUCUGUGGGCUACAUGAAACUGUAGAAAUGACUUGGUAUUUAACAAACAUCAACAUAUUCACUUUUUGCAGGUCAUUUUCAGGGUUAUUGCCUUGAUCCGCACAUGAUCAUUACUCACUCCUGUGGAAGCCAGGGAGCCUAUGGUUACUGGGUGUGUCCGAUGGAAGAUGGUAGCUCAGGUUAUCUUCAACCGUUUUGGAUGACGGCAUAUUAAUAGGAUAGGUGUUUAGUCAUCUAGGCUUAUUUCAAUGCCUCCCGGUUGUGGCGACGACGCCGUGUAUCUUUUUGUUAUUUUCUUCAUUUACUUAUCUGAAGACUCUUUGUACUUUUCGAGGAUUUGGUUUUGAAAUAAUAUAUGGCCGUAUGCAUCCUUCGAUGCCGAGGCCGGGGCUUUGCCUCCUUUUCAAAACAAAAAAAUUUAAUUUAUCCUUUCAUUGUUAACCCCUUUUUUGGACUGCAGUUAUUCUAACUCUCUUUUAAGUAAUGUAAUAAGGCAUAUCUUUUUCCUCCAUUUCGAGACAAAGUUCGGACCUAGCACAACUGUAACAUCCGCUCUACAUCGACUCACUCUAGAGAGACUAGUCUUGGCACCUUUUGCAGAACAUGAUUAGUGUCCUGACAUGGAGUAUUUUAGCAUAUAAUGGUCAACUCUCAAGCACAUAUCACUUCAAAUUGCAUUGCUGAAAAAGAACAUACACUUGCACGUUUUUCGAACUUUCACGCAACAAUAAAGUAACUCAAUGAAAUAUUAUGAUACACUCAAAAACAAUAAUAAGCACUCAACAAAAUAUCAACAGUUUUAUUUUGAUGGACGUAGUAGGACUGUAUCUGUUGUCCACUUGGCUACUUUAUCAACAUAUUUAUUUCAACCACCCUGAUCAACAGACAAUAUCUAAGUAUGUUAUGCUAAUUGAGUUAAAAUGGAUAAUCCUUAUUUUAUAAGAUGCAAGGAGUCGAAACAUAUUGUGAUUAGUUGCAUGCUACUAGCCUACUACAACACUAUUGAUCUUAGUUAAGAAGAUUAUCUUGUGAUUAGACGAAGUCUAGAUCAUCUAGCCAAGUAUGAAAAUAUUUAAAGGAGCGUGUGGAUACCUUUUCUUCUUUAAUAAAGGAAAAAAAAUUGUGUAUAUAUGCGAGUCUGAAAACAAAGAAAAGAAAGAUGGACAGCUUAUCACAGCUUCACAUAUGUCAUCUACUCCCUGCGUUCCUAAAUAUAAGUCUUUUAAAAGAUUUUACUAAAAGACUAUAUAUGAAGCAAAAUGAAUGAAUCUACAUUUUAAAUAUAUCUAUAUACAUUCUUUAGAAAGACUUAUAUUUAGGAACGGAGGGAGUAAUAGCUAAUUGAGGGGUUCAAAUAACUUUGUUUCGCAAUAAUGAUUGAAAAUCAACCUUUUGUUGAAAUCCGAAACUCUACGUACGGUAGACCUAUUUUUAUCAAGGGAAUCAACAAAGAUGAUCUGCUACAUAAAAAUGCGCGUAUGGUCACUCACGAGCCACAAGGACGAUGCUUGAGUAGUGAUGAGUGAGGUGCACGAUGAGAUUAAAUAUUCCAACUAGUGUAACCGAAAAGUAUAGUAAGUUAGACAUCGUUCUUGGUCCACGAAAAUAGUGGCGUGAUCGAUGACAUCUUGAUGCCGGCCGGAGACUAGGAUCUGGCUGUUUGAUAGGGUACCAAUUAAUUUAUACCCUCCACUUGGCCAACUUACUUCAUCACCAGUCGAUAACUGUAUACGCAUUGUUCCAUAUUCAUGCAUGCACGUGCUUACAGCCCAAGAGCAUUGGGUUUAGCUGGUGCUGUCUGAUCCGCUUGAACUCGUAGAAAAAGGGCCUUUGGCCUGGACCCUUUAGUCCCAGCCUGUCUUUCGGUCGGAACUAAAAGCCGGCCACGUCAUCCCAAAUUAUCAGUUUAACCCGCUUGGCCACCAUUUAUAUCAUUAAAAAACCUCAAAUUUGUAGCGGGGUGAGUUUACAUGUUACCUUGGAUCGCCAUUGUUUUUUUGGCCCUGCGUGUAACGACGAUGGCCGGAGUAGGCUCGUGCAGAUUAGUCCUCCUCUUGGUAAUUAAGGAGUAUAUAUCCACUAGCUAGUGUCUGACAUUCAGAACCUCCACUCGAUGGCCAGAGUAUUUGAUAUUUAUACUCUCCUCUUGGUAAUUAAGGAGUGCAUAUCCACUAGCUAGUGAUCUAAACGUUUCUAUAUUAAUUUAUGGAGGAAAUAUUUAAUAAGGUUAUUACCCAACAUUACAGGCGCCAUCCGAUAAACCAUAUCACUUUUUUUUGCGAGGACCUAAACCAUAUUCAAAAUGCAGAAUUACUGGCACGUGGUGUAGUUUACGGAUCGAGCCUCCUCCUUCGUGGGCACCAUAGUAGUCAUGCAAGACAUCGUAGUUAUAUAGUGGUCAAGUGUGAGUUAUGAUUGCUUGUAUAUUUUUUAUGCGAUUUAUGAGUCAAUAAAAGUGCUUUUAUUGAGAAAUGUAUCUAUAUUGAUUAUUGUUGAACCUGCCAUUAAUGUAACUAUUUACACAUGUGCGGGGCCAUGCCGUCCAACACGAGGAGCUUCAAAGCGUAUGUGUGGGAGGGGAGUGCGUCGAUGCUGCAAUGACGAACUGCUCUUGGUCGGCGUCCAGCCGGUGUUCCUCACCGGCCAGACCGAGGACCAUAGGGACAUCAUCGUCACCAACCUCCACCGCCCGAGUUCAAGGGCUCCACGGUAACCUACAAGUCUCAUGAGAGGCAGAAGUUGCCGACGACCUGGUAUGUCAUCGUGGGCACCAUUGAUGACCAAGGGAACGACAUCCUGGGGGUAUCCGGUGGGGGGCACACCUUCAAGUUGCCCGACCACAACGGCUAGGCUACAUAGAGAUCGGCCAUGCCUUGAUUGAUUUCUUGAGUAAGCUCUAUGCUUUCAAUUGUAUGCAUGUUUAGUAAACAAUCCCUCCCUAGUUGUUGCUUUGUUCAUUUUCAUUGUCGAGAACUUGAGAUCAAUAGUUAGUAUUUAUAAGACGUGUUACGCUAAAAGUUGCAUGCAACAUAAUCAAUGGUUUGUUGGUUUUAUUGUUUCUCUCUAUUACGAGAUCCAUGGGCUAUAUUGUUGUUUGAUGUAUUGUAAUUCUUAACUUGGAUCUGUAAUAUUGAUCAUGGUGUACUUUUUAACUAAAGAUUGUUGAUGGUGGAAUUAGUAUGAAAGGUACAUAGUGCUGUCACACAUAGGGUGUCACUACUCCCAUUUUGGCCCAACAGAAGGAAGGGUCAUCAUUUACGGGUCACCAGACUGCGUUAGUAUAGAGGCAACAAGGUAUUUUAACCAUGCCGAACAUCAUUAUUGUGAAGAUUAAAAAUGAGGCGGCAACUUGGGUCAAUUUUUGGGGUGGAGGAUUUGAGAAACACUAUGCCCCGUGAGAAACUCCGCUAUAUUAUUUAAGUCUUUCGUUUUUAGCCUCUCUUUUUUCGGCAGCGGUUCUUCCAACUCUCCUAGUAAAUAGAAAGGGGGAAAGAAAAUCUUUUGCCUCCAUUUUGAAAAAGAAAAGGUUGAGACUAACAUCCCUUUCCAUCGACCCACUCUAGAGAGUGUCUCCAACCUUGUUUUCUUGGCCCUUUUGCAUGACAUGAGUAGUGUCCUAACAUGGACUCCUUGAUGUGUAACGCUCAGCUCUCCUGACCAAAUCGCUUAGAAUUACAUCACACGCAAAAGUUAUAUACUUUUGCAUGUUUUUCGCACGUCAAUGCAACAUUAAAAAUUUCAAUGAAACAUUAUGAUACAUUUUGAAACAAAAAAGAACUCAGCAAAACAUACUGUGGAAAUAGAAAAUUUUUGCCAACAACUAAAAAAACGCAGUCAUCAAUUUAGCCGCAACAAAAAUAAGAUGUUAGAAGUCAGAACAUCUUGUGCAUGAUUAUAUGCUAUAGGACUAUUCAUUAGAGAAACUAGUUGGGUAAAACUUUCUCCUUUUUCCGAAUCUCCUUUUUAAUGUGGGGAAAAAGCUAAUGCAUUGUGGUUUAAAGUAAAUAUUACAUCGGCCUGGGAAAUUUAAAAUGAAUCUAGACUGGACGGCUACAAAGAGAACCAUAAAAGUAUUCAAGCACGUCAGAAGAAAAGGAAAGAUAAAAUUCAAAAAAGAAAAGAGAAAAGGAAAGAUGAACAACCUAUCACUUGCCUCAUAUCUUUACCUAAUAAUAAAGAGGCUAUUGCUUCCGUCGAAAAACCCACCGCUGCCGUUUUUUAAAAAGCCCCCUGUCUUUUAGGUAAUUAAACCCGCAGUACCUUUUUAUGUGUUACGAACAUGAAAACGUUUCAUUUUUGCAGGGAGCCUCCCAUGGCAUUGGAUAAGAGAAACGCAUCUGGGCUGACGAAAACGCACGAGAGGGCUAUCGCUUCUGCCCUCAUAAUCCCACAUCGAUACUUCACAGAUAAUUUCAUCACUUUAUAUACAUGCGCCUUGGUGAUUUUACAAGAGGCAACGGAAAUCAAGAGAGGAACAAAUUCGAGAAGAAGAAAUUGAGAUGACGCAAACAGAGGUGGAGCUGCGAGACAGAGGGGGCUCGGGGCGAAGGAAAGGGUCGGGCGCCGGCGAUGCAUACGUGGAGGUGGGGGCGUCGGGGUUAGAGGAUUCAGGCAACCGGCGGGGUAAGUCUUGCCGGAGACUGGCCCCAUAGGCCGACCUCGCAGCAGCACACCAUGGGAGGUGGUCGCGAGGUGCAGAGGUGGGAGGCGGUGGAGGAGCGGAGGAGGAGGCGAGUGCGGGCGCCAUUGGAAGGGGGGAGUCGGGGAGAUUGGGGAUCCUGUGGGGCUCUCUCCCCUAGCGGCGCGAGGUGGAGGAGAGGAGGGGGGCUGGGGAUCGGGCUAGGUUAGGGGAUUUAGGAGUGGGUAAGGCUAUGCCUUGGCACGCCUAAUGGGUUGUGCACUACUACUCAUCUCUCUUUCCUUUAAUUUCUUUAUCUAAAUUCUUUAAUUAAAAAUAUGUGGUAUUAUUUUUUUUCCGUUGCAACGCACGGGUCCUUUUGCUAGUAUCAUCUAACAAAUCGAGGGGUUCGCAUAGAUCUGCUUCGCCACAUAAUAAUAUAAUCAUGACAAAAGGCUACCUUCUGGUGAAAGCAGAAGCUCUGCAAUAAAGCUGCAAUCGUAGACCUAUUUUAUGAAGGGAACCAACAAAUCGAGCUGCACAAUCCAAUUAAAUACUAAUUCCUCCGUUCCUAAAUAUAAGAUUUUUUAAAGAUUAUAUUAUGAACUACAUAAAAAGAAAAA
RNAcentral lists this long non-coding RNA (83285 nucleotides) under Hordeum vulgare. RNAcentral describes it as "long non-coding RNA (HVUL_LNC011207)". Lineage: Eukaryota; Viridiplantae; Streptophyta; Magnoliopsida; Poales; Poaceae. The record is from RNAcentral.